Molecule: long non-coding RNA, 54065 nt
Filed under: Gallus gallus (chicken)
Lineage: Eukaryota; Metazoa; Chordata; Aves; Galliformes; Phasianidae
Source: RNAcentral
GUAUUGUUAUAGGUGAGCAAGGCAUAACAUUCAGUAUGAAAAUUGCCAUUUUAAAAUAUUUGAAACUAUUAUGAUUAUUCUGUCUCAAUAUCAAGCAGGUAAAACUCAGAACUUUGGACAGAGCACUGUUUACUCGUGGCUUUCAAAGCAGCAUCCAGCCAAAUGUUCAUCACCACUGGUGGAUCAGACUUCUGCAGUCAUGAUAGAGACUGUCUACACUGUUUGUUACUGAAGAAUUCUAAGUACUGCUGAAGCCAAAACUUGUAUCUUCCUCUCCAAAUAGGUUUUGUACCUGCUAACAGGGUUUCAAAAUGUAUGUAAUACAUACGAAAUGAAAGGAAAAAUAAUCAGUACAGUUCUAAUGGAACUAGUCAGUGUUAUACUAGUUAUGUCUUUGGAACUUGCUCUUAGUAUCAGGAUGAUACUGGGAGUAUUAAUUUUGCUUUGAGUUGAAAUUUGGCUCAUAGGAAUAGCUCAGAUGUUCAACUGCUCUUAUCUCAAAACAACUGAAGAGUUGUUAACUGAUUUCAGAGAAUAAAGCUAAUUUAUUUGCUGGAAAAGAAUCAUCACCUGGCAUUCCUUAGUCAGUGGUGUUAUGGCUUUUUCCCACUCAGUUUUGUGACCUUUUCUGUGAUGAAGUAAUCAGUUUUGGAGGAGUUGGGAGGUGGGCAGGAACAAGAGACUCUUAGCAGCAUUUUCAGUGUGUUGGCUUCAGAAGUUUUAAGUAGGUGAAAGUGUGAAGUUGGAAGAAUAUUGCAAAGGUGGACAGAUAUAGUGAGUGCCAAGCUUGGUCAAAGAUAUGCAGUUUAUUAUGGCCAGCAUGCUUUUGUAUGUGCAUAUGGUCAAAACGUGAACAAGGGUAAGCAGUUGCAGCAGUAGUAAAUACAUUUUGUUGCGUUUUCUUUUUUUCCCCCCCUCUAGAUAAGGUACACAGAGUUAGUCUACCAUGGACACACUGAAGCAACUGCUUCAGGCCACACUGUUGUUUUGCCCAUCAGGCUUGCUCUAGUGCUUUGCAUCCAGUUCUGGCUGGCUUAGACCAGGAUUCUUUUUAAAUCAUAUUUCAUUUCAUUAGGUGAGUUGAAUUAUAUCCCUAAAUUUUUCUGUUGUUUGUUUUUUCUUUUUUCAGAUCUCUUAGUUGGAAUAUUCCAUAAAAGGUCAGUUAUUGUCACCAUCACUUAAAAUAGCUACUUAGGCUUUUAAACCUAUCUGUUUUUGUAGGCUACUUUCUUACCUUGAUACGUAGGAAAAAUCAAAAGGGGCAUUUUAGUGUUUUUUUGGCAAACAUCCUAAUGUGCAGUGGGUGGAUUUUUUUGUUUGUUUGUUUUAAGGAAUAAAUAAAAAGUGUGAGGAGUAAUGGCUCGCCUCUCCAAAUCCUCUCCUAACACUGUGAAUUCCAAAUGUGGUCUGUAACCAGUGACAGCUGUUUCAUCAAGAAUUGCUCUGUGUUUGCAAAAAGCAGUGUUUGCUUUUGCGGUCUCUUUAGAACAGGCCUGACAUAGUUUGUAAUGUAUUUAUACCAUGCCUAACAUAAUAGGAUCCAGGUCUUUGACUGAGGAUGUGGCCUGUUGGGCAAAACAAAUAACCAUUAGUCCAAAUGUAGAAAAAAGUGACAUUACUUAAGGCCCCCAGAGCUGAACAAACAAUUCAUUGCUGUGAUCAUAUCGACCAUCUCCUUUGGAGGGAUUUUAAUUGUAUCAGAGAAGUUUCAUACAUUAAAUAGUGAACAUAUCUGUUAGGUAUUUGGCUAGAUGUGAUUUACACUCUGAUGGUCAUUAAGCCUGCACUGUUCAGACUGGGGUACUCAGGCCCUCGGUUUAGAGUUCUCAUUAGAAACUAGGCUGAGUUAUUCUUUACAACCUCUUUACUCUCAUCCUGAGAAAACUUGCUUAUAUAUCAGUAUUAAAUGGGGGAGGAGGGGAAGAAUGGGAAACUUCUCGUAGUCCAGUAAUCUGAUUUGCCACUUUCUAGCUGAAAACUGGGUAAACUGUUUAGCUUGCUCAUAAUGAAAGCUGUUUUAUGAGUAAUGCCAUGUUCACAACUGAGAUUUGAAUUACUUGCAGGAGAGAUGGUACAAAGGAAAUGGGUUUUAGCCUUACGUGGCCAGAAGGGAAUCAACAGACAAAUUAAACAUAGCAAAUUUCUGCUACAUCAGCUUCUCCAUUACAAGGGCCAGUUCCUCUGUCUGGAGAUGGAUGCAAUUUUUGGAGAUCUGUGUUCCCUCUUCCAGUGAGAUUGUUGUUACAGGAGGAAAAACUAGUCAGUCUGAUGUGCGAUGUUUGUAAAUGGGUGAAACAGACUGAAAGCCAAAACCCUACGUAGUUUGUCCUAAGGGUAGCACUAAAGGUUUGAGGUAAAGAUCUCAGGUUUACCUUUUUGAAAAUAAAUACAAAUCUGAGAGCAUCAGACAUAUUUUUUUAAUAUAAUAGUGAAUAUUACCUUGGAGUACAAAUAGCAAAAGUUAGGUUUCAUAAUUAUCCUGUUGGUGUGGUGAAAUUUAAAUUAUGCUUCACAGAGGGGGAUCAAUGGCAGAGGGGGAUUGAGGAUGGAAUUCAUCUCAUUUAACUUUAAAUACGUUCACAAGGUGACACAUUUGACCAAAUUUGGGCACGUAUAUUACUGUGAGGUAGACUGCUCUCUGAAGGUAUCUGAUCCUUUCCUGUAUAAAGAAUAUGGGAUGACUAGAUAAGAUGUAAUCACAUAAUUUUUAGAUUCCUAACAUGGGCCAUUUGAAUCCUAAAUGAUGUCCCUAAGACCAUGGUAGGGAGCAUGUGGCAAGGCUGAAAAAUAAACUCAGAUUUUCUAAGUUGAAGUUAAUAACACUAAUCAUAAUAGCAUCUUCUCUGUGUAGAAUUAGAUGUGUUUAAAACUAGUAGUACAUGAUGAAUACUCAAAACUGCUUUCAACAGUUGCAAAUAAUAUUAAUAACUAAAAAAAAAAAAAACCAACACCCAAACAAACAGUAAUUGGACCAAAAGAAGGGUAUAUUUUUAAAGUUCCCAAUGGAAAUUCAGUUCAAACUCUUUAUUUUGCUAUGGCUAGUAUUACUGUAUGUGAUUCAUGGGGAAAAAUGUUAAUCCCAGUAGUGCUGCAACUUUAUGCUAGAAACUAUAUUUUAAAAAGAAUAUUCAGAGCAAAACUUGCAUGUUAUUUUACUAUAUAGUAUAGCAGAUCUAUGUCUGCAGAAUCCACAGAGCUGUCAGGAAAGAACCUUUUAUCCACAAAUAGUGUUAUGUGUCACAAAAUUUUCUUACCUAUUAACACCAUAGGAAAAUGGGCAUCUUGUCAGUGAAGCCAUAAAGGUCUGUUGUGCUGAGGAGUAAGUGUUGGGAGGAGCAGAGUAGUUUACUCAUAGUUAUGGGAGCUGAAAGGGAUCUUAUCCAGUCUGCACUGUUAGAAAUGGGAUUAUGUGAAAGGAGACACGUUCCAUGCAGCAGCCCAGUCCUUGCUACAGUGUGUGUGUGCGUGCAUGUGUUUUGCCUCUUCAGACGCUACAUUACAUCUUGCGUCUGGAUCAGGUAUUGUGCUUCUAGAGGCUAGCUUGAUUCCUUCUUGCUUUCCUUCCUCCCUUAACAUAUUUUAAGGCUGUACUUUUGACUGAGCUGAGGAACAGAAUCUAUUUAAAUAGAUUCUGCAUGUAAUUUGUACAUAGAAAUCUAUUCAGAUGAUCCUGGUAGUAUUUGACCCCUUUAAAUUCAUGGCAUCGCAUCUCUUUUCGUGGGAAUGCACUGUGAUGUUAAAGCUUCAGGGUGCAAAGUAUUUGUUUUAAUGAAGUUCUAUGAAGAAAAAGCAGGCCAGAAAAAGCUCUGUUAUAUUAAGAUAAAACAGAAGCUGGCAAUGUGAAGAAUAAAAUAGGAUGUAUAUUUUAGGCUUAUGUGAUUUCUUCCCCUACAAAUUUGAAAAUGACUGUUAAUUUCACAGUACUGCAUAUAAUAGAAGUUAUCUUCAUGUUAGGUCUAAAAUUGUUAAAUUCGAAUGGUCUAGAAAGAAAAAUCCAAUACUCUGAAAAAUAACAUCACAACAAAGUUGUUGUCUUGUUGAUAUCUUUGGUCAUCAGGAUUUCUUGUUAGUUUCUGUUCUCCUUUGAAUUAGAAGGUAAACACAAUGUCUUCGUAGCUAAAUGAGCCUUUCAUAAGCUAGACAUCAACUAUAUAUGAAUAAAGAACAGUAGUUCUAAAAUGUGUCAUGCUGUCAGAGUAUAACUGUUUUCUCUAUGAAUGUGGAAACUGUCAGCUAUGUGCGUUCUCUCCCUGCCCUACUUUUCCUCCCUAUGUGUUGAUAUUCACCCAUGUGAAAGGCCAAUUAUACUUUGGCCAUUGUGUAAAUAAUGCAGAAGUUAGUAGCAGAGGAAAACUUGUUAGAAACCUGGGGUAGUGAAUAAGUAAAAACACCUUUUAAUGAGAGCCAUAGUCUUUGCUUCUGUAUCUCAUCAUGUUUAUAUGUAUGUGUGCAUAUACAUGUGUACAUAUGUUUUAUAUAUAUAUAUUUAUAUCUAUUAUUGGUUAAAUUUUUUCAUCUGAGGACUGGCUGUAAUAAGUUCCCAGGUCAAUCUUCCAUCUGGUUAUUUUGCUCUGCAGUAUUUUCCCUGCUGUUUUUUCAAGAGCCUCCUGUGAACAGGCACUGGUCUAUCCCUCUCCGAUGUGGUGCCUGAGAUGGAAGAGUGCCCUGGCACUGUGGCUGAAGCUCAAUGAAAAUGGCUAUUCCAUUCCCCUGGUUCUGUGAAAAGCAUUGGGAACAUGAAGCUCAAUUGUGUCAGGCUACCUCAGAAAUGAAGUAGUCAGUCUCAUAACAGACAGACUCCUGAAGCUGGAGAGCAGCUGGGCCAGCUCUUGGUAGCUGUUGCAGGUACAGCCAGGCCCAGGCUCUUGCUGGAGUUGCUGUGAUGUUGGCCUAGCUGGGUGGUAAUUAUCUGCCCUAAUAGAGUGGUUAGCUGGCUGUUCUGGGUGAUCUGAUCUCAAAUGGUGUGCAGAAGUUGAUUUUUGAAGCUGCUCUUUCUCUUGAGUGUUAUUCUGAGAGAGAGACUUUGUGGCCUUCAGCUCAGUUGCGUGUCAGUCCACGUGCCUCUCACCAGCCUUGCAGCAGUCUCCACUGAAACAUGCAGGACUGUGUGCCUGCUCUGUCCAUGGUACCUCUUACUGGGGUGCAGACAUCAGAUUAACAGUGUACUGGUCCUUGCCUCACAUAAUUGACUUUGUUUUCAAGUGGCAAUGCUCUUAAUGUAGUUGUUUAAAGGAUACUUGUAAAGAGAGAUAAAGACUGCAUCUUCAGUGUGGCUUAAAACAGGAGUAAUAGGGAGAUAAGCGAGUAUCUCCUAUUUAUUUUUUUUAUCAAGGAGCUCAUUUUUUCCCUGUUAUCUUUACUCUUUCAUGAUUGAGCUGUUUGUUUCCAGAUGGUGGCUACGCGUGUGACAUUGGGACGCACAGCGGCCAAUCUGUUCAGCGGCAGGCCUCUCCUCAAGCAGGGCCUGAGGUGCUGGGCAGGCGGCUGCAGGAGGGCAGCGCAUGGACCCCUCCUGCAGCAAUUAGUUCUGCUUUCAUUUCCCCACCCACAGGCUCUGCAGCAGCUUUCUGUGGGAGGGAGAUUCAGCUGCAAGAGCUGAAAUGCAGAGCUGCAACCAUGUAACACCUUUCAAAUGGAACUGAAUUCAUCCACAUUGCUAAAUGUGCCCACAGUACCAAAACAUUUAUUGUUCCAGGUGUUGGUUUUAGUAAUUUUUUUUCUGCUAGAGCAGAGUUCUUAGUGUAACAUCCAGUACGUAUCAUAUGCAGUAUGUAAACAAUUGUGUUUUCUUGGCGCUUUUAAUAGAAGAACUUCCUAGAGGAGGGAGAUGUUAUGUGGAAAUACAAAGUCUGCAUCAUAUGUGUAAGGGUAUUCUUGGAUUUUUCUUACCUAUGGCUAUAUUACGGUUUGAAUUGAAUGAGCAUUUUGUUCUAUUAUGCCUUAUCUUCUCUCCUGUACUUAUAAAAUUGUGAGGGGUAGGGAAAUAAAAUGAAAUAUGGAGCAGUAAGCUCUCAUUAAAAAGCAAAUAGGCAAAUAGCGUGCAACAUACUGAAAGGGCUAAAGAGCUGUUAUGUACUCUACCAAAAAAUAACUCAUUAAUACAAAGACAACAUGACUAGAUAUGGCCAUAUUGACCAGGGUGACUUAUCACAGUGAUUCAGGGGCUUAACUGGCUGUUCUUCAGUGAUUGAAGUCCAAUUUUCUGAGUAAUUCUGUUCUGUUCUCCUGGAAAGUGUGGUGGAGGCUGAUGGAUAAGCAUUGAAGUUCCCUGUGGUAAGGCAGUUGUCCAUGUCAGCCUCUGAGCUUCUGGAAAUCCCCUUGAAGUUAAGAUAAACUGUACUGGUGAAAGUGUACUCAUAUUUAGGAAAAAAAAAAAGGCUUUUGAAGUAAAAGCAUGAGAUACUGCUAUCACAUGGCUAUUGUGCAAAGAAUUAUUUUUGUUGCAAAGAUAUCCUGGAAAACCUUUCAGCAUAUGUGAUUGUUUUCUUAAGAGAAACAUGGCAUAUCUGAACUGGGCAUCUCUUAAGACAUGUUAUCGAUAUGUCUGCUUUUAAAAGGAUACCGGAGACUGAGAGAAUUUGGUGAAGUAUUUCAAAUAGCCCAUGAAAAGGGCAUGAUUUUUUUUUCCCCAAAAUCUUAAAAACCUCCUACUACACUUGAAUAGACACUUGCUGCUUUAGUGUAAGCAAUUCUAGUGAAUCCUUGUACUUCGUAUGGUUUCAUAACAGAUAUGGGUUCUUCUGAAAACUUAGUUUUAGUUACCUGUUCAUUAUUGCAGCAAGAUUUUAGCUUAAGUCUCUUUGAUAUUUUUCUGACGGUAGUGUUGAAACUUUAGCUUGUAAGUCAACAUUGUUUAUCUUUGCUGUCUGUAGUAUAGCUGUGUUAAAGUGUCUAAGUUCAGAUCAAAUAGCUGCAAAAGCAAGUACAAGUUCCAUGCGAAAAACAACACUAAUCACAUUAACUGAACACUUUGAAUGCUGAUACUCUUUUCAGUUCCCUGCCCAAACUGAAUAAAAUAAAGCAUUUCAGAAUAAAACUUUUUAAGCAAUAGAAAUUUACUUUUUGUUCACCAGCAGGUGAUAAGUCAUCACUGAAGUCAGUUGAUGACAUGGAACACUUCAAGCAUGUCAAUCUUUGUCAAAAUGAGAAGUCAUUUCUUAAUUCGGAGUGUUGUUGAACCAAACAUAACCUUCUAAAUUUGUCUUGUCCAUGCCUGUGAUAAACUGCAUUAUACAAGCUGUCAAUUAUGCAAGUAAUUUGAAUCUAAGUUUUCUAUAUUUACUGGGUAGUGGAGUCCUUAACUACUUCAUGUGGAUGACUAAACAGAAACAUACAGAAAUAUACUAAAAGUAUAAGUAGCUCACACAUAGGAUGUUUACUGUUUUUUACUACCCUUUCUCUACAUAUUUUGACCUGAGCUAAUUUAACAUUCAUUAAAAUUGACAACUGAUAUUUUUUUAGUUGUUUUUUUUUUUUGAGGGGAUGGCAAGCUUAAACUGCAAGAACAGUUGAGAAUAAUACAGAAACUUGUUGCAAGUAGUAUUUCCACUUUUUAAAUACAAUCUUUUAAAUACUGUUUCAGUUUUCAGUAGAUUGUGGGGAUCUUUUUGCUCCUUUUUUUAAUUGUUUUUGAAGUAAAUCUUUUCUUAUGCCAGUAGUACCAUAAAAUACAGUAGCAGUAAUUGCAUAACAUGUAAAAGGUUCAAAGGUUAUUUUUCCCCAUAAAGAACAGAAGAGAGAACUGCACAGCAGUCCUCUUCCAUUGUAGAAGAUGGUGACAUAUUAUUCCUUUCAAUUCUAGUUUGUGCUUCGUUGCUCUCAGAAUAGAUAUGCUUGGGACAUAUGCCCAAACUCAAGAUGUGGUCAAUGUGCUACUAUGAUUAUUUUGUUACUGAAGAGCUUUUUUUCUUUCCUCUUCAGAAAAAAAAGAGUUAUCCAAGGCAGAUGGUACUGUGAUAAACAGCUUGAUACUUACUACACUAGAUGCUAGGAAGUUUGAUAAAAGAAUGUAAUGAUGUUGACAUCGUAAAAUCUUAAUAAUCUUGUUCAUCUUAGGCAUAUGUGGAAAGUAAUACUUGAUAAAAGAUACCUGUCCAAGUUUUUUGGGUGAAUGGCAAAACUGAAUAGCUAAAUUAUUAUUACUGUUUAUGCAGGUCAGAAUUUGUAAAUGACCGGUUAUGUCAGCAGUGCCCAGCUUGAAGCACAUUCAGAAGUGCCUUGUUUUCACUAUGUGCUGGGCAUGCAUCCUGCUAAAAUCAGGCUGUAUGCACACAUGACUGAAAGGCAAGUUUUAUUCAUAUUAGAGAAGCUGUGAGAUGGAGGUACUUUGAAUGUAUUCUUUAUGUGACUAAAGAAAAGUUGCUAGAUAGAAAGCCUGAUCCUGUGUUACAGUCCUGUCUUGCUAGACAGGGAAUGAUAGGACAAACAUACAUUGCUGAGCCAGUGUAGUGGCUUUUAGGAAGCUUGCUCAGGCUGGUACUAAGCCCAUUCUUAUUAUACGCUGAGUAGAUGUAUAUGAAAUUUAGUACACCCCAAUAUCACUUGACUGAACCAUCAUAAAAUAGUUGUUUAGUCUAAGCUGCCAAUGAUGACUUUUUAUCAUUAAAAUACUUAGAAGAAAAGAAUCUUAAUUGUCCCCAUUUUAAAUAGUCUUUGUAGGAUGAUGAAUGCUGGAGUUCCUCUUCCAUUGCUUACAGUGGGACAUCAACUGGCUGUCAUGGAUCUAGGAGAAUGCAGUAUUUGUGAGUUAAAAGAGUUAAUUCUCACCAUAAGGAAGAAAAGUUAAAUGGAAUUUUCUAAAAGUUCACUUUUCAAUAAUUUUCUUAAUCAAUGAAAACAAAUAGCUUGUAUUGACUUCUUUUCAGAAAGAAAUGUUACUUGAGGGUAGUUUUAAUAAAAGGUUUUGUGAUGAGUUAUACUGAAAGUAAGAAUUUAGAGGAAUGAAAGAAAUUUAAUUUGCACAUAGAACUUUGAUUUGGUAAUUUUAUCACUUCUUGCCCCUGUUAGGGAUUUUAUAUAUGCGUGGUGCUAAUGGUGGUUUUGAGUACUGAAUGAUAAAAGUUCAAAUUAACGUUAGUCGGUAUUAAGAGCAGUGUGACAGUGCUAAUAUAUUUUUUCUACUCUGACCAAACUUUAGUGUAUGCUUCUAUGUACUUAUCUAGUUGUAGAUGGGAAAUAAUCCUUUAUGCAUAGUGAUCUAAAAAAAUAAACAAAGUAAGUUUCUGCUUUAUUAGUAACACAGUACACUACUGAGUAAAGAUGAAAAACAUGCCAAUAACAUUUUGUGACCAGAAGGAUGCGGAUUUAUUAUGUUCAUGUAAUUUUGUCUUAAUACUUGUGGCUGAUAAAUGCUCCAACUGGUAUUUUGGUACUGGUUCUUUUCGUUAUGCAAUUGUAAAUCUCCUCAAGCAGCAAAGAGAAGACAGGCUGUUUCUGACAUGAAAUGUUACUAAUGGGUUUCUGUUGAGUACGUUUCAGUACUCUGCUGUUUUACGCAGCUACUUAAUGGGAUCCAGAGAGACCAGCCAUUAAAAAAGAGAUUUCUAAAAAUUGUAUACAGUCUAAGCAGAUAUCUUUUGCUUAUGAUUUUUCUCUCUGAUUGCAUGUAUAUUACUGUGAUACAUGUAUUCUGAUGAUAAUGUUGUUACUUCUGGCAAGAUGAAUGUGCAUACGUGACUGUGCAUCUGUGUAUGGUAUAACUUGGCAUCACACAGCUUGCACAUGCCUGCCAAUAAUGCUUUCAGCUUGGCGUGGUAUUUUUGGCCUUGGGCAUCUCUUUGCUAUUCCUGGGGGUCCAUGCCUCCCUUCAUGUUCUGUCAUUCCCUAUUUGCAGGAGAGGACUCAGAGAUGCUAAAUAACUGUCAUGUAACUAAGGUAUUUCCAGAGUAUACUUGAAGUCACAGGUGGCCACACUAUAAUUCAUUUAGGUAUUAUGUAUGCAAACCACCUCUCCAGUUCACCAGAACUAAAUCUUUGAUUAUAACAUUUCUAUAACCAAACAGACCUCAAGAUGUGAGUAGAAAUGCGUGUGUGUAAAUAUGCAAUGAGUGUGCAAGUGCUGCUUUGUAUUCUUAAGGAUAGCAUGAAAAUCCAUAGUUCUCUUCAUACUACCUGUGUUAGUGGUGCUCUGGCUAACUGAGGAUGAAAAGACUAUGUUACUAAGGCUUUAGAGCUGUUAUUAUUAUUAUUAUAUUUUUGUAAAUAGGAUGUGCUUUUAAUGAAACAAUCUGCAGCUACAAGGCAUGCAGAUUGAUGACUGCAUUGCCAGUGUCAAGCACCAAAAAUCCAGGAAGUCUGUAAACAUUAUUUGUUGUCAUUUAUUUCUUUUUCAAACACAGAUUUCGAAGCUCUUGUCAUUGAAACCACUCGUUAUUGAGGACUCUAUUUGAUAGAGCUUUGGAGAAGGUGGGAAGAAUCACAGAUGCACAUGUACUCCUUGGACUUUUGUAGUAAUCUUGCAAGAAUUCUUCUUUUCCCACAUGUUCUGAGAAGACAGAAGUGCUUAGAUCUUGUUCCUAUUGGCAGCAAUCAUACUUCAGAAGGCAGUUCCAAAAGAUUUAAGUGAUAAUUUCCAAAAAUAGUGAACAGCUGUAUGUGAAUACCUCAGUAGUCAAAGAAAACAUUUAGAAAACAUACUCAAAUCAACCCCACAAAAGACAACAAAUGCAUGUGGUUUCUUGGUGUUAUUUAUUUAUUUUUCUUUUAAAGUCUCUGGUGGAACCCUGGUCCCUAACAACUAAUUCUAGUAAGGAUAUUGAUUUUUAAGCAAACAAAUAAUAGAAUACCUGGGCAGUUGAAGGCUGACUUGUUGCUUAACCUUGUGCUUAAGUUACUUAGUCCUGUGUCCUGGAAGAGGCUUCAGCACUGGAAAGCUGAGAAUCAUAAUUAUCUUCCCAUUAGACAUUUAUUAACUAGUAUGGGAUUUACAAGUUUAAUUGCAUGUACAAUGAGGUAGACAUAGAUUUUAUUUUUUGCAAAAGCUGGAAUACUAAUUCUCAGUGUAAAAUGUUGUCAAGAGAGACCUCUGUCUUGGUGCUACCAUCUAGCUCUUCAGGCUGCCUGGUAGUGUCCUCAUCAACUUGAUCUGAUCUUUCAAUAGCCCUGUGCCCUCUUCUGAAUUGAAAUUUGCAUGUAUCCCUUCCACCACCCCCCUUCCCCCCACACCCCCUCCCCAAAGAAAAAAGAAGAAAAAAAAAAAGUACUUUUUCCUUUCUUAUUUUUAAGGAAGGAAAAGACAGCAGUGAAUACUCUUUAUGCAAUGAUUUCUUGUUUCAAAUCACUCAUCUUUCCAGGAGGAGUUCAGAAUGAAGAUUCUUGGCUUUUCAGUCUUUCUCUUAAAAUCAUUUCUCUAUUUUUACUUUGAUAAGCUAUUAUCUAUUCAUGCUAUUUCUCUGAUUAUUAAAUAGGAGAAGGAGAUUUCUGUUGCCUCCUCAUCUGAUUGUGUUUUUUGGAUUACAAAUACUGCUUACAGGUAGAUGUUGUGGAUGCUCAAAGCCUAUCUCUAGCAUAACUUCAGGAGGCAGAUGAAUGCUUCGGCAAAUGCUUAGCACAGGUGCUCCAAACAGGGUAAGAAUAAUACUAACUUUGGCACAGUAACAUGGCUCUGCUGUGUUCAAAAAUUCUGUUGCCUGUGGAGCUUAAUUGGAAAACACAGAUGCUGAACGCCUUGAUAAGGAGAUUAGGAAUUAUGUUCCUGGACUGUCAUUUAUUUCUGAAGUGGUCAUAUGUAGAAUUAAAGGUUCUUUGUGUACUUAAGGCUAUUUUCCUAAAAAGACCAAAAGAAAUAAGUCUAGAAUACCAAGCAAGCAAAACGGACCUGUUGUGCAUGUUUGUUCAUGUAAGGAAGAAUAAAUCUCAUCAGAAGCUAAGUAGCUGUAAGCCUUAGCAGUUUCAGCAUAUAGACCAAAGAAAAGAGCUGUCAGAAACUUACUGAGGAAGGCUGAAGUAACUGAACUGGGAUUUAAGGUGAACUUUCAAAACUGCAAUGUGAAUGAGGAAGGGUUGACUUCAAUAUAUUCCCUGUCUUCUCUUCAGAAAGAGGUGCAUUAAAGGCCUACAUCUAUUUUAAUAAAGCUUGGAAGCUUUAGCCAGUGUAAGUCUCUGAUAUGUUAUGCAAAGAAAGUGGUGAAAAUUGUGGAAUGUCAUAAUUUAGCAGUCUCUAGUUCUGGUGACAUAUGUUGAAUCUUGUUGUGUUACUUGUAACUUGAGAUAUUUGAAAUAUGCAUCUUUGCUGUCUUGUUUUUAUGAGCUACUUAAGCCCUACAGAUUUAAUGAAUCUCUCUAGACUGCACGCUAGAAAUAAACGUCUUCAGUGUGCCUGAGAUUUGUACAGUAUGAUGCAAGUUGAAAAAUCUUUUAGAUUGGGCAUAUUAGAACAUGUUUGCUUUAUAAAACCUGAAAAUACUUUGAUAUAUGACUGCCAGUUUCAAAAGGGUUCUGUCUAACAAAAGCAUGCUUUUAACCUCCUAUCUCAGUUUCUUUCUCUCCAUUACGAGUUUACUCUAAAGUUUCUGAUCAUGAAAAUUUCACAACAAUAGGAAAUUGGUGAUCUCCAGAGGUACAUUCCAACUCUUGCAAUUUUGUGAUCCUAUGAAGUGAGACAUAAGAAUCCUCCUUUCUAAGAAGGCUGUUUGAAAUGGUCUGACAAAAUAUGAAUUAGAUAAUGACCCCACUGUCUAAUAAGGAAAAUGGAGUUUUCCAACCUGUAUACUGUAAGUUGUUUUUAAGAUAACGAGGAAGUAUUGGUUAAAUAAUGGAAGGAGAGGCUAAAAAUGGUGAUUGAAGACAAAUCUGAAAAAUGAAGAGGAAGGAAUGAAGAAACAUAGAAGAAAUUAAGCACCUUAUUCGUUGAUAACAUUCUAUAAAAGGGCACAUGCACAGAUAAAUAAAGGACACAAAGAAGCACAAAUUUAGAGUAUGAGUAUUUCUCAGUUUCCAGAAGUUAGCUGCAUGUAAGAGCACAUGUUGAGCAUCAUGGAGAAAAUAGAAGUGAUUUUCAUGAGUUCUUUAGCUCCUUGUGGAAUUGUCUGUCACGGGUAUUCAAAAGCAAUGGAUUAGACAUAAGAUAGGAAACUGCCAGUAAACUUUGUUUUAAAAAUUAUUUAAAAUGUUUGUCUGUUCUUAUUUGAAAACUGGAAAAACUGUUACACAGUGAGGAGUAAGAUAAUCAUAGUUGAUGGAGUUGAAGGGCUUCAGGAAAAAAGACUUCAACUAAGUGAGGUAGUUACUGUGCUAUGCUUUGAACUUGAGAAAUAUAUGUAGAACAGGAUUUUUUUAGUAGAAUAACACAUGCUGUUGUUAGUCCCAAAUUUGAGUGCAAGGAAACAAUAAUAAAUUGUUGUGGCUUUCUUUUUAGUAUAGCUGGCUGCUAUUUCUGCCUACUAUUCUAGCUGAAUGUGACUGUAAGGUUUAUUACCAAAAUAUGUCACAGGAGAGUUUCAGAUAAACUGAGUUCAAUUAAUAGGAGUUACUGUAUGUGCUGUUAACUCCUCCAAUUGUGUAUUGAUCUGUUUGUGAUUCUAAUGUUCAAUAAUUACUUCAUGCUUCUGUGGUUGUCAUCUACACCCUUGUAAGCCCAGUAUUACAUAUGGCCAUUAAAACGGAAAAAAAAAAAGCUCUUUUAAUUUAUUAUUUAUUAUUAUUUUUCUUAAUUUUUUUUCUUGACGUGGUAGGCCCAUAUUGAAUAGCCAUGUUUAACCUACUCCUAUAAGCAGUUAUUUCAAUAAAAUUGUGGAACUAACAUUGGCCUCUAGCUGCUACUUAGCAUUUAUUGAUUCAGAAGUCCUUGCUGAAUAAAAGUUGAAAUGGUUAUUGUAAUAUAAAUGAUUAUUGUAAUAAUUGGUUAUUAUAAUAAAAAUAAGCUUAUUACUAGUACUAAUUAUACAAGAUCUGCUCUGAAAGUAAUGCCUCCCGUUUUGUUAUGUUGUCUCACAAUGUCAGAGGUGGAUGUUGGUGGUAUGACAGCAGAGGUGGAACCUUACCACCAAUAUUUUGUUACAUUUUGUUGCCGUGUGACAGAUGGCAGAUGGACAGUCUGACAAAAUGGAAUCUGGCAUGGAAGUAUAGAUAAAGCAAAAGUGGUGUCAUUGAAUUUUUCUGUGUGGGGGGUUUUUCCUGUCAAUGGUAUGUCAAUGUUAGUUGCACCCAUUGACAUUCACGGACACUUGCUGAACAUCUAUGGAGACCAACCAGUGGAUGUGAGCACAGUGAGACAGUGGGUGGUGUGUUUCAGCAGUGGUGACAGUGGGUCACCUCCUCUGAUUCAGAUGCUUAUGAGUGCAGCAUGCAGGUUCUUACUCAUAGCUGGCAAAAAUACAUGGCUAAUGAUGGUGACAGUGUUGGAAAAACAGUGUUUUGUAGCUCAGAAUGUGUUCUAUCGAACAGCAUUAUUGUGCUCUUUGUAUCUGUAGUUUCCAUGGAAAUAAAUAGGAGGCAUUACUUUCAGAGAGACCUACAUAUAAACACAUUUGAAAUAUUUCUAAUAAGAAUGUCCAGCAGUGUGAAUUCAGUUAGCUAUCUCCAUGUACUCAGUGGUGAAGCGCACGAAGAAACUCACGGGGAACAUGCUCAGAAUCUGAGAGUUCUCUCCCCCCAAAAUAGGUAGUAUCCACUGUUGAUAUAUCUUAGGUAGUAUCCAUAUAAUAUUCUGUCUCUUUUUAUUCAGAUCUUAGGAUUUCCCUUCAGCUGCUCAGACAGUGUGUGAAAGGAGCCUGUCCCCAUUGUUCAUGUUUAAGUGGCAGCACCGGCUGGAUGAAAUGCCUGGUCAAAGGCAUUGCAACUGGGAGACAGAGAAUGAGUGUCAGGGAAAUAAGGAAAAAGGGAAUAGAUCUGGGAGUGAGUGGUGGAAAGAAAGGGAUAGAGGCACUCAUCUGCUUCAUUUACUACAUGGUUUCCCAUUACUGCAGGAAAUGAAGCUGGAAUUCUACUGACAGUCUCUUUUUACUAUAUAACUCAAAUUAAUCCCUAGAGCAACCUGUGCAAUAAAUGAAGCAGAAUCCUAUGGAGAAAAAUAGUAGAGCCUUAAAAAAGAAUUGAAGACUAUAUUGCACUAGGGGACUGAAUUAACUUUGCACUAACAAUCUUCGUUCUGUCUUUUCUUAACUUUAGGGUGCUUAUCCUAGCAACCUUAGCAUUAUUUUAAUGUAGGUCAGGGGGAGAAGGGAUCAUGCAUAUAAUUUGCCUAUAUUUAUCACAAGUGUAGAGUAUGCAGGAAACGUUCACCAUGGUGUAUCCUUUACAGGUGGAUGUACAACUCUUCGUGACCUCAUUGUCAUUGAUUUGAGGAUCCAAUUUGCCUACUACUUGAUCAUUUUUACUUUAAAAGUACUAUAAAAAGAGAAGAUUCACAGACAGAAAUCUAGGAAUGCAGCUUCUUAAGGAGUGAACUGUGGAACAGAGAUACUUGCAAAAUAGCUGUUACCAUGAAAACGAUUUAUAAAUCCUAGCAUGCAUCUUCUAUAUUUUCAUCCAUGUUGUGUAAAUAGCUAUUGCUUCCAGGUGUGCUGACCCACCUAGCAGUCAGAAAGCAAGCACACUUUGUGAAUUAUUUAAUAGUUGGAUUACAAAUAUUAAUCAUAAAAAGAACUGAAGUUUUUUCUUAAAAUAUUCUUGAAUAUGGAGCUUUGUUUGCAGGUCUUUCAGUGCAGCCUGGUACUGUAACUAAUAGGUGUGCAUGAAGAAAACCAUUUCACUUUGCAGCCUUUCCACCCACGUCUUUAAGGUUGCCAGAAAUCCUAUCUGUCAGCUAAAAUGAUGUUAAAGUUCUGUGCUGCUCUAAUCCAAAUAUGACAGAGAAUAGGAUUAGCAGAAGCUGUUCAAAUGUGAUAAAAUAACUGAAUAAAAAUGAGUUGAAGAGGAAAGCAUGAUAUUAGUGGAACAUGACCCAAUUAUAUAUGUAAAAACAUACCCAACAAAAUAGGUCAGAAAUACUCAACUAAAUGCAUUUACAUACUGCUUUGAAUGUGAAGUCUGUGCAGCUGUAGGAGUAUUAUAUAAGAUAUGUUAUAUUGGUAUCUGUGUAUAUUUAUCUGUAAUGAACUCCUGUAAAUACGUGGAACUGAAGCGAGACUUUGGAAUCUGACUCUUUCAGAAUAUAAGAUUGUAUAAACCAGAACAUCAGGUUCCUGAAUUGAUGUGGUCUUCAUGUCAUUUCUCUCUCUUCCACAACUCAUAUGAAAUUUCGGUAGGUAGCUUAUAUAAAUAGAGAAAAUAAAUUUGUCGACCUUUAAAGAAGAAAGAAGUUUAUUCUUUCAAUAAUGAAUUUUCAGUAGAAAUAGAAUUUAUUAGUGCUUACAGGUUAAUGGAACAACCUAAAAGAUAGAGUUACUGAUUAAGAAACUGUGUCUAACUCUCAAGUUAGCAUAAUAAUUUUUCUGUACUAAAUACAUGUUAAAUCUGCUAAUUUAAAGUGGCAUCAUGCACAAUUUUUAAGGUGUUAUCCAGUUCUCUUGACAAUAAUAAGAUAUUUUAAAAUUGGCUGUUCUGUUUCUCUAAAUAAGGGUAGUAAUGGAAUUAUCUGAUGUGGACUGAAUUAAGAGAAAUGGUGUUCAGAUCAGGUGUAGCAUUUUUGUUGUUUCCUCUUUUUUUUUCUCAUCAUGUGAAUGACUUGUCUCUAUAUGUUGAUUAAAAGAUACCUAAUUUAAAUUAUUUUAAAAUUGAAUUGUAUUUAAAUACCUUUAGGUAAACAGACCUAUUAACAUUAAUUGAAGAAAAUGAUAAUUUGGAAAUAUAUAGGGCUUUCAAAAUAUAGGUUUAUUUUCUCUGUUCUUUAAAUACAGGCUCUGAUCUUCAAAAUACUUUUAAAAUCGCUGAUGAACUUAGUCAGAAUUAGUUGAACAAGCAAAGAGCCUUUUAGUGUAUUAUGGAGCUACCUGAAAAUGGUCUUUAAAUCCUGCUUUAUCUUCCGUUAGCUAAAGAAAGCUCCCAUUUAGAGGCUGGGUUAUCUCCUUCCGCAAGAAAGUUGGCAGCAGACAGGGCAGAACAGCAGUAGAGAAAUGGAAAAUUAUGCUAUUAGUCUGCUAAAAAAUGACCAAUGUGGAUUCCCUUUAUACAUAAGAUUUCUCCUAAUUUAAAGAGGUUUUAAAAUAGUUACACUAACAAAUUCUUCUGUUCUCAACAUUACAAGAUCUUAAAAAUAUUCUGAAGAAGGUACUUAAUAUUUUAUGGAUGAGUGUUUAAAAUAACUAGACACAUUUAUAACAUUGUUUUCAUAACUUCAUUCUGACUUAGUGUCAUUGGAAGUACUUUACUAAAUGGUCCAAAUUUAUCAGAAUUCAUUGUCUUAACCAGUGAAAAUCGAGAUAUUAAUACUGAACUCCUGUAGAUAGAGAUCAUUUGGUUUGAUUGUUAAUGGACAUCAUGCUGAAUGUAUAAAUUACUAUUGUUGUGUGUAUAAAAAAAAAAUGUAUGUUUAAGAAGUGACUCCCCUCAAUUAUAAAAGGAGUGGUAUACAUUUCUUCAGUGGCAGAAUCAAUUUCCAUGUACCUGAAUACUGGUAGUUUUCUUGUAAUAUGGUACCCAGAAGGAAUCAUCCUCCAUGUUGCAGCUGGAGCAGGGGAGUGCCUGGUCUCUCUCUAUGUAUAUAGCAGACUACUAUAGCAAACUACUCCCUUCAAACUUCCCUUUUCCAUUUUCUCCCUGAGUUUGUUUUCUUACAUGAUUCCUUUCUUUUUUAUGACCAGAUGGUAAGUCAGUUCAAGGAACUGAGCCAACAGAAAGUGAAUCCAGGAGAGGAAAGCAGAGUAAUUAUUUUGGAUAGCUCAGGUCACUGGACUUGCUCAUAACCUGCUCAUCUGAGUGUGAGUGCCAAUGCAAAGGAAGAAACACGGUGGUGUGGCCAAGGGUGGGAAGCUGCAAGCCUUCAUUUUGGUAUUGCUAUGUGCAAUAGGUAGUGACUUUCUAGACAAGUUGAGCUAAAAGCAGCCAGAAUUAAGUGUUCUAACAGAGACAAUUGUUUUUCUCUUGUUGUAAAUCUGCAUGUAACCUCUUUUAAGAGAGAAUGCUUAUUCUAUUAUUGUUAAUCCUGUCUGGUAAAAGAUGUGAUUUGGCACCUACUCUUAUCUUGAAGGAAGGAAAGAUGUCUUGGUAUUGCAUUGAGAAUAUCCCAGUUUGCCAGCUUGACAUCCCUGGAAGUCUUCCUCUGUAUUAUUGCAUCUGUAAAGACUCUUGACUAGUUUUCUCUUUUUGGGUGGCCAUGCUCAGUGCAGAACCUGGAGAGAUUAACAAUUUAUUAGUGAUUACAUCAGUAUACUUAUGCACAAAAGUCAAAUGAGUCUGUUGUUUCAUGUUGUAAUUUAUCCUGACCACAUAAUCAAUCCGGGCAUUUGUGUAGCUCAUGUGGCAACUCGCAGUUACUUGGAACAAAACACCGAUUUCAAGAGAUCUUCCAAUUGUGCAGUUUCUUGUAAACCCAGGUACCUGUUCACAAAUGUGUGGAGCAAUAUGAAGAUCAUCUUGUCUGUAGUCUGUCAAAUAUUACUUCGUAAGUCAGCUGAUUUCAACACUUACACUCUCGAAAUGGCUCAAGUCUCUUCUGUUCACUGGUCUUUCUUUUACUUCAGUAUACAGCAGUUGACAACUGGAGUUCUUGCCUCUGAAUCAGUGCACAAAAGGAGAUACAGAAUGGAUAAUAGCUUUUUUUGUCAACUUUUUGUUUUCAGUUUCCCAUCUGAAAAGAAAGAAAAAAAAAAAACGUGUAUCAUCCACUCCUUUUUUUUAAUCAUAGAAUCAUUUUAUUUGGAAGGAACCCUUAAAGAUCAUCUGGUCCAACUCCCCUGCAGUGACCAACUCCCCAGCCUGACCUUGAGUGUCUCCAGGGGUGAGGCAUCUACCACCUCUGGGUGGUGUCUCAUCACUUAACUGUAAGAAAUCUUCCUUACAUGCAGCAUUAAUCUACCCUUUUUAAGUUUGAGACUAUUUUCCUUUGUCUUGUUGCCACAGACCCUACUUAAGAGUCUGUCUCCUUCCUCCAUAUAACCCUCUUUAAAUACUGAAAGGCUGCUAUCAGGUCUCUCUGGAGCCUUCUCUUCUCUAGGCUGAACAGCAGCAGCUCUCUCAGUCUGUCCUUGCUGGGGAGGUACUCCAUCCCUUGGAUCAUUUUUUGUGGCCCACUUCUGGAUGCAGCGUUGUUUUGCAAAUGUCAAAUGUUUGUUGUGCUGCUAAGAAUAUCAACAAAUUCUAGUGGCCUUGUCAGAAACUCUCGUGUCCAUGUUUUAGUUGGACUUGAAAUUUCUCAUGAAUAAUUGUUUGUGGACAGGCUUAAAAUCAAUGUGAGAUGUAUAUCUAAAAUACUCUUCUGCAUAAGAACCUUACAGUUUAGCAACCGACAUGUUCUUAACAUCGCAGUUGUGUUGCAUGUAACCAUUACCUAUAUGGUCAGGACUUUGUUUCCAAUUGAACUUCUGAAACUACCACAAAUGUCUUGGACUAGAUACUACGGAGAAGGAACAAUGUUACGGAGGAGCAGAGAGGACAAAAGAUGGACCUGUGUGGGUAUACAUGGGAGUGCGUAAUCCUGUAUUAUAGUGUAAGAAUUUUUUUUCUCUUGGACAGAGAAAUCUAGAAAGUCAUUCAGAAGAUCAUUUGAGACUACUGAACUGGAUUAUCCUACUACUGCUGUUUCACCUGGGAGAACCUGUAAUUUUGAGAUUUCUUGUCAAAGCUGUCUUCAAAAUAGCUGGGAAUCCCUUAUUAUAAGGAACUAAUGCUCUUCACUGAGAAACUUAUGAGUUUUGUAUGACAUCUGAGUGCCUAGCAAAUAUACAUAAGUAUUAUGUGCCAAAUUGAAGGUGUGAUCUCUUCACUCCAUCCAUGUGUAAGUUCAUAACACCUUAGCAAGGCAGGUCCACUGGUGUAUCAUAGAAUGGCGUGGGUUGGAAGGGACCUCAAAGAUAAUCUGGUUCCAAGCCUACUGCUAUAGGCAGGGUUGCCAACCACUAGAUUGGACUGCCCAGGAAUCCAUCAAGCCUGACCUUGAAUGUCUUCAGGGAUGGGGCAUCCACAAUUUCUCUGGGCACCUUGUUCCAGUGCCUUAUCACACUCUGAGUGAAGUAUUUCUUCCUAGCAUCAAACCUAAAUCUCUUCUCUUUCAGUUCAAAUUCAUUCCCUCUUGUCCUGUCACUAUCUAUCUACCUGCAUAAAAAGUUGGUCCUGUAAGCUCCUUUCAAGUAUUGGAAGGCCACAGUGAGGUCUCCCUGGAGCCUUCUCCAAGCUAAACAAUCCCAGCUACCUCAACCUUUCAUAGGAGAGGUGCUCCUGUACUCUGAUCAUCUUCCAGGCCUUCCUCUGCACCUGCUCCAACAGUUCCGCAUCCUUCCUGUACUGGGGGCCUGGAUACAGUACUCCAAAUGCAGUCUCACAAGGACAGAGCAGAGGGGGACGGUCCCUUCCUUCUCUCCUCUGGCCACCUCUCUUCUGAUGCAUCCUGGGAUGAUGUUGGCCUUCUGGGCAGCAAAAGCACACUGUUGGCUCACAUCCAGCUUUAGCUAUCUAUUUUUGCUCUCAAAUGAGGCACCACAACUCUAUUGAUCUGUAUUUAUUCCUACAUUAAGUGUCCUUUUGAAUACCAUCUGCUGAAUUCAUUGCAGCUUUGGGAACAGACUCUAGAUUUGAGUUCCAGUUCAAGGACUGUUCCAGGUAGAUUUAUCUCAGUGCUGGAGCGUUUAAGAAAUAGAGUGACAUAAACUUUGCAAACACCUAUCAGAGCAUGUGAUCCCUAACAGAUAGCUAUUCUUAGAAUAUAUAUUUCUUCUUUGCUAGUAGAACAGACAGCUUUGCCAAUGUUGAGCAAGUCUUGUUUGUUAAAACUGGGGAUGGGGAUGUUUUCAGCUGCUAUUAUUCCCCUGAAGCUGACAGUUUACUAAUGUAAAAAUUUUCCCUGCUCUUCAGCUAACUGUCUAACAUUGAUACUGAAAUUAAAGGCAGGUGUUAAAUUUAAAACAUUUUGCUGAAUAUUUACUGCAAAUUACUGAAUAAAAACUAUCAAGUUUUGUCUGCAGGUAUUUUUUUAGAUCAUCUUGAAAAUUUUCAAGUCUGAUGCAGGUAUUUGUGGCUUAAGACACUGCCACCCAGUAAUUUAUUAAACUAAGCUGUAGCCUAUUUCCUCUAGUAUUUUGUCUUUCCUUAAACAAACUUUGAUCAUGUUACCUAUCAGGAGUCCUGGCACAGUUAUUGGUUGCAUGGCAGUGAAAGCUCUGAGUCUAAUAAUGUUUCUAACAAAACUAACAGGAAAAUAGCAAAAGAAGUGCUGCUUCUAGGAAGAACCAUUUGAAGUCUUCCAUAUUCUUGCUUAUUUCAUUGUUACUGUGUUUGUGUUAUUGCUUCAUUAGAACUGUAGGUACUAAUUUAGACUUGAAGACUCUGAAAGAGGGGAAAACAUGAAAGUUCUUUGAGUGAGUAGGGUGGUGGGUUGAGUUUUUGCUUGUUUUUAGUUUUUCUUUUUUGUUGUUGUUUUUGUUUUAUGAUUCCCUCUCUCCCCCUCAAGUAUUUUGAUUCUGAAUGUUUCUCUUCCAUCUGUGGAGGAAAUGUAGAAUCUUUGAAUAAAAAUUGUCAGGCUUUGUAAAACUGAAAAAGGAAAUACAUGAUGUAACGUGGCCCAGGGCAUAAGAGGCAAUUGAAGGCUGCUUGUGGUUUUGCUUUGUUUGUAUAGCUUUCGGCUUUUUGCUGUUACAGUGCCUUUUAUCUCUUGGACUAUUUGACUGAGUGCUUGCAUUGAGAGUGGUUCUUUAAUGGAAGAUGGUUUGUGUUUAUCUUGCUCUGUUUGGAGUGCAGAUCUCAGAAAGCGGAUGAGAACAGUACACUGGCGGCAGUGAUUAAGACUUAAGAUUCUAUUUUUUCAUUAUUUUUUGUUUAAACAGAUGUUAUUGAAUAUUGCUCCCCUUCCUUUUUUUCUCCCCUGGUUGCCUGAAUUGUGCUUGCAAACUGGAGCCUGGGUUGUGCUUGCUGAAGAGUGGGGUUUUUCAGGCAUUGGUGGAAGGGUUUCAAGGAAUGGUUCAGAAUAAAGCCCUCCUCAUCAGGCACACUGAGCUACUGGUGAAUGCUCCCAUUUUGUGGUGGUUUAUCUUUACCUUGAGUGUGAAGUUAUUUCUGUGCAGAGCAGCAGAAGAGCUGUCACCCAAGCACUGCAUAAAUUCUGUCCUAAGGAUUUAUGCCUUGAGCUUAGUGAUGUAUUUAUUUUUCAGCAGUGUUUUAAAAUUGAUAGACUUUUAAGAAUAUGUUGGUAUGCAGAAAUAAUUAAAAUUAAAACCUCCCUUCCAGUCUGUAGUCUGUUAUUCCUUUUAUUCACUUUGUCAGCAGUACAAGGUUCAGAGACCACACUUUAAAAUUUGACAGGGAUUUGAAAACAGCAUAGUUCUUUUGUAUCCCCUUCUUCUUUUUUUCAUUUCAUUGUCAUUUAUUUCUUUUCAUCAGUAAAAUGGGGUUUCUAAAGCAUGGUUAAUAAUGAUCGUAAUGCUGCUCGUUAAAACGUUUUGUUCCAUUUACACUGAGCUGAAAUGGGUUAUAGGAGGAGAUGGUAACUAAAAACAUCUAAUUACCAUUGAUGCUUCUGUUUUCUGUCACAAGGAAGAUGAAGACCAAGCCAAAGCGUAAUGUCUUCUCUUUCUGUGAAGUCCUGGGAGGUCUAGUUACAAGGUUCAGUUGAAGACACAAGUGUUGUUAUGCCUGGUAUCAAUUAUUAGUUAUUAUAACAUGUAAAAAUUCCUGAGAACUAAUUUAUAGGUACUGUGUGGUUUCAGAUAGUAGAUUUUCAGCUCAAUGAACAAUGUUUAAAAUCUUAAUAGGCCAGUUUUUUUAAUGAGCUGACCUGAUAGUGGCUUUUGCUCAUGGCAACUGUAACACUUUAUGCUAAGUACUGUACAAGUUUGUAUAUAAAUACACAUUUAUGAUUUAAAUUACCAAAAAAUCAGCACUGUAGCUGCUGAGAAUUCUAUAGAAUUCAUAGAAUCAUAGAAUUGCUCAAGUUGGAAAAGACCUUAAAGGUCAUCGAGUCUAACCACAACCUAACCAUACUACCCUAAAUCUAAGAACCCUCUGCUAAAUCAUGUCCCUGAGCACCACAUCCAAAUGGUUUUUAAACACAUUCAGGGAUGAUGAUUCAACCACCUCCCUGGGGAGCCUAUUCCAGUGCUUAACAACCCUUUCUGUAAAGAAAUUUUUCCUGAUAUCCAACCUAAACUUACCCUGGUACAACUUGAGGCCAUUUCCCCUUAUUCGGUCACCAGUGAGAAGAGAGAAACGCCACUACAGAUUUUAAGGCCUUUUUAUAAGCAGGGGAAGUCACUCACCUGUGGAUGAAAGAGACAAGAGACCUUUCUUAUUAAAGAAAAAUGUUUCCUCAGAAAGCCAACCUCUUUUGAAUGAAGAAAAUCCUGCAGAAUUUCCUAUUGCCAUUGCUAUAAAAACAGUGGAUGGCUUAGCCCUGGCAGAAGUGUCAGAAACUGUUAUGUUAGAGGGGUGAGAAGAGUGAAAUGGUAGCAAGACAGUACUCUUCAGACAGCAGUUAGCAAUCUAAAUAUGCUGAUGUUCUCUGUUAGACUGAAACCUCCUUUAACAUGAAUACUACUGACAUAGGUUAACUAUUUUUUUGAAAUAUCAGACAGAUUGGAAGGCUGUAUAGAUGCUGUUUCCACUUACAGAAACUAGUCUUCUAUCUCAAGUUUACAUUUCAGCCUUGAAGAAAAAAAGGGUUGUUAGAUUUUAUUAGUUAAGUCCUUGGUUGAGAUGGUUACUGUGAAGUUUUCUUUUUUUACUGCGCUACAGAGGAAAGUUUUUCUCUUGUAACACUUGAGAUAUUUCAACUCUUAUCUUGAAGUCAUCUGAGGCCUGACACUUUUCAGAUGUGCGAAGCAUACUGCUUAUUCUUCUGAUGAAAGGAAGGAGAAAGAUUGUCAUAAUGUCAUUUAUAAUCUGAUAAUUUCUGAGAUUGUGAUGUGAGUGGUAAAAAGGUAGAAGAACUGUGAAUCUUCAUAAACGUACACUUUUUCUCAAGAUUGUUUAUGAAGAUGGUCCUUAUGAUGGUCACUUAGUCUUUGAUUUAACAAAGACUUGAUUCCAGAAGAAAAAAAUACAUCCUAAUUAUAUUUUCAUGGAGAAGUGACUUAUUUGGAAAAGGAGAAAAAGUGUUUUUUGUUGUUGUUGGGUUUGUUUUUUUUUUUUUUUUUGCAAUUUAAAUUAGCUUUUCUUACUCAAAUUAUAAUUCUUUGACAUGAUUUAUGGACUCAGUUGUUUUAAUAGUGUAGCUUAAUGGUUAAGCAUUAUAUCAAUAUAUAGGAAAAGAAAAUCUAAGCUUUAAUACAAAAACUGUAUGCUACUAUUAGUGUUUACUGGAGUAACACAAAUGAUCAGAAUAGAAGAUAAUUUAGGCAUUGUAUGAAGUGAUCAAAAUAUAUGCUUAUUUCUCUAGAAAAAGUAACUCAUGGAGAAUUGCUUUGUUUGUCUUGACUGGUUGUUUUCCCUUUAACGGAAGAUCUGACAUGCUUUAGAAUUCAUCUUCUACUUUGGUUUUAAUUUAUUAUUUGAAAUUGUAUUUUUUAAAUAGUUCCUGAUCAGAAUAACUUUUUGACAACAUUGAUUCUUCUUGGUUUCACUUCUGUGUAGGUAUUUGAAAAUGGCAACCAACUUGCAUAAAGAAAAAUAAGAAGAAAACUCUUCAAAAGCAAAGACAGCAGCAGGAUAUUAAUGCCUGUGGAUGAUUAGCAAUCAGCUUGGAGAAGUACCAAAUGCAUCACAAAGCUCAUUUACAGGGGGAGGAGGGGAAGGAAGCUCUACAAUAAAACACUUGAUAUGCACACCCCACAAUGUUACCCGAAAUAUGUUAUGAGAUAUAAACAUCUCUUCUAAUCUUUCUGCCCAAGCCUGAUUUUCUUUUUAAAAGCAUAAUAAAGGAGCAGAAUGAUUAAAACCUACAGCACAAAAGAUUAAGCAACACAGGAUUCUAGAUUAGUUCCAGUUGUUCCAAUUUCAAUAUCAAUAAGCUGAAGUAGUACCUAACAGUUCCAAUGAUGAAGUAUACUCUCUGAAAAUCAUAACAGAAUUAUCCACAUAAGAAAACAUUAAACUAGAGAUAAUUCUGGUUGCUAUUUUUCACUGUGGUUCAGCAUGCUAAUACUUGGGUUGGUGGUAGAAUACUAGAGAGGUAUAGUGAUGCUGAGGGGGUUGCUAAGCUGUUUACGUGUGUAGUCAUGUUUUUUUCUUCUUUGACAAAAAAACUUUUAUUCAUGCUCUUACACUAAUCAAGAAGCGCUUUUUAGAACAAUUAUGCCAUCUACAGAAUUGUGUGUAAUUAUGAAGUGCAUUAAUCAACUGUUCUGAUCUGCCUGAUUAGUAAUUUUUAGUCAUGAGCAAAAUGGAAGAAAACACAGAUAUAUUGAAAAUAAAAAUUGAACUUCAUUUUUGGGUUGUGUUCAGGUGUAUGGAAAGAAACAAGAGCACAGUGAUUUGCACAAGUUUUAAAUUAGCAAUUCCUGUAAAGAUGGCUGUGUCAAUCAACCCUCUGGGCUGCUUCACUACUAUUCGCAUUGCACUGUCAGUACUGAAAUAACCUUCUGAAGUGGUGCCUCUGUAUGAGCAAGUUUCCUGUUUUGGUGGGUUUAUUGUGUUUUAUUUAUUGAUUAGUAUAUUGGUAUAUAUUAAACCUCCUAAGAAAAAAAACUUGUAUUAGCCAGUUUAACUAUCCAGUUUGAGUCACCUUGGCCUCUUCUACAACUGGUUUCUCUUCUUGUGUGAUAUGUCUGUCUUUACUAUUCAGCUUGCUCGUAAAAGUAUGCUUUCUAGUUAGCCUUCUUGGGGGCAGGGCACAACUGUUUUUUGGUAUGUUGAUGUAGAAGACUGACUUGUUCAUUAAGUACAAAUGGAGAGAAUAAUUUUUAGUUUUUUUUAAGGAAAUCGUAAUUAUUUAUUUUCUGAUUUCGUUUUUCAUGUGUUCCCUUAAUCAUUAUCACUGAGACAGAGAUAUAAGUAAAAUGUGGUAUAUUGGCUACUGAUUACAAUUCAUGCAUCUAAUGAAGAUAUAGGUUCUAUUUAUGUGAUGCUGUAAACUUCUUGAAUUUUGCCCUGUUUUCUGAACUCAGAGUAAAUAUCUUCUUUUAGUUAAAACUGCAUACCAUUCUAGAACUUGUGAUAUUAAGAUCUAAUCAUGACAUUAAUUAUGAAGUUUUUUGCCCAGUCUGAGUCUUUACUACCUUUGAAAUGUUGUUCUUUAGCUUGCAUUCUCAAAGUUACCUAAAAAAAUAAAAAUAAAAAUAGAAAAUCAUCGGUGCGUUUGACUUGGUGUUUGGUUGACGUUAGAAAGAAGUCAUCUUUCUCUCCUAAAAACUAAGCACUGUUGUGUUUGAGUGUCUGAUGCCCCAGAGUUUUCUGCUGCUGUGCUAUGAUGGUUGUGUGGUUUUAUCCUACUUUCAUAUCACUCCUCGUAGGUGAACUGCUGCUCCCAAACAACUGUGCUGUCUUUGCAAGCAACCUAAAUGAAAUGCUCAGCUGCUCUAGAGAUCCGGAUGUACAAUUAUGUGCAUAAAAACAAAUGCAUCUCUCCUUCUGGCAAUUAUCUGAUAUUCAGUUACACAGUUUUUAGCACAAUUGUAAAUUAACAUAAUGAAGGCUUUACCUAAUCGCUCUGAAUACAGUGUUGUUCACUGAUGUCAGAUCAAGAAGAUAAGCAGUAUCCAAGUAUUGACCAAAAUAAAUGUCUCGGCACUUACGUGUAAGGAAACAUCAAUAUUCCUAACCAAUUUUGAUGACCAUAUGUUUUUGUCAGCAGUCUACCCGUAUGAUGUAUUUUGGAACACAAUGGGCAAGAUUACUUUGUGCACUCAUCCAUUUGGGUAAGUUUAAUCAAGGGGAGUGUACAGACCGGUCAGUAGUACAAAAAUGCAUCGAUAUCCUUAUCUUUUAUAACUACACUAGUUCUGUAAGUAGGAAAAUUAUCUGAGACACUCAGUUUUGACUGGGCACAGAAAUGGAAGAAAGAAAACCAAGCUGUGUUUCUUAAACCGAUACGUUACUGUAUAACUCAAAUCUUUUCCCCUCAGUCUUUGUAUAAACAUUAUUUCCUUAGCACUUUGUGAAGUGCUUUUCAGGUUCAAAGCCCUUUACACAAAUUAUUUUAAUUAGUUUUCACAUCUCCUCUGAGAGAGGUAAGUAAAUAUCAUUAUCCUCGUUUUUCCAGACAGGGACUGUCAUCUAGAGAGGUUAAGUAACUUGCCCAGGGCCACAAGGGGAAAUAUUGUCAUAGCUAGCCCUGAAAAUUCAAGAGCUGUUAUAACCUCACUCUUUCACUUUGUUUGCUAGGUGGCAACUUAAGUUGUUAAUGGCUACUUUUGUUACAGAAAUAUAUUCUGUGAUGUUUUUCGCUCUUUGGUGUGAGCAAGCAAGGAAGAAAUCAGAUUUUGUCUUACCAGACUGUAGCAUAGUAAGAGGGCUCAAACUCUCUUGUGUCCUUUUGAAUGUAGCAGUUUUCUUCAUUAGUUUGAAUUGUUGUAACAAUUUUCUAUCACUUUCUGACAUUUUCUUUAUUUUGCAAAAUGAAAUGUUGAACUGGAAUCAUUUGCCCACAGAAAGGCACUUGCUUCCUUCUGAGAUCUCUUAGAUUGUGUGAGGUUUCUCUGUAAAGCUGACAGGUACUAUGCAAGAUGUAUCAGAUAUUCUUGUUCUUUUAUGGCAGAAGGUGGGGUUCUGAGAGAUGCUGUGUGUGCCCAAGGGUACUUCACUGGGAGCCUCUGUGAUUGCAGUUCUGUGCAUUCUGUAAAACACAUAAGGCUAUAGACUCUUUCUCAGUACAUUACACAGACAUCUAUACCACAGUGGAAAAAUUAAAUGGUGGAAGAAAACCAAUCAAGUCAGUGACAAAACAUGCUUUAUGAAGGAAAAAAUGCUGAGUGUUUUGCCAGACGUUUUGGAAGCUAUGUGCUUGGCAUGUGUACAGCAAAAUAAACUGAUCAGCUACCAGUAGGAUGGCAAAAUUAGUCAUCAGUGGAAGCAUCAGGUAAUUCUCCAUGAUAACGAUCACACUAACCAGAGCCUCAGGGAUAGUUAGUAUAUAAAGCUUGAGCAUAGUCACUGUCUAGCAUACUAUUGUCCCUUCCUUUUAAGAAACAAACUUCAUUUACAUUGAGCUGUGGAAUAUUUUCUGUUUAAAUUCAAACAAAAUCUGUCCAGGAAGAAUCAAAUUACAUUAUAACUGUUUAUAUUAUCUAUUAUCAAAAGCAUCUUCUUUAACAGUAUCUCACCCUUUGGUUUUAAAGCACAUGCAUUUAUUUAAAUAUUAUUUGCUAGUGUCUUACUCUAUUAGCUGUACUGAAAACAUUUACCCUUUUUGUUUUUUAACAUUAUGAAUUCAGGUGGUGAACAGUGAUUAAUUUAAACUUUUUGUGGAAUGUAUAAAUAAAUAAUAUCCGUGUUACUGGAUUUUGCAAGAAAAUUUGCAGAAAUUAACUAUAUGUAUUACUGUUAGUAAAAUGUCCCCGUUUCCCAGUAGUGAAUUUUUCCAGGUUUGAUUGCUUCUAAAACAUUGUCUAGAAAUUUCAUUAGUAAAGCUUUUAAUGAUGCAUAAAUUCUGUGAAUGAUUUAGAGGUGCCUUCUGCUCUCCUUUGCUGCAGUGAUUGACAUCACUUUCUGUCACUGCAAGCAGCUAAAUAGUGUGAUUUGUUGUUUUUUUUUCUUUAGAAAAAGGAAUCUUUCUUGAGCAUUAUUUGAAUGGUUAUUGUGCCUCAGAUAGCAAAAAGCUAAAGAUUUAUCUCUUAAUGGUGAAAAGGUCGUAGUGAUAUCAUGUUCUCUGCCUUCUGACUCUCUCCCCUUGCUCCAUGUCAUCAGAAGCAGUGGUAUCGGUCUCUCCUACAUCCUGAAGUCAUAUUUUAAUACUCAGAAAUCUGUGGGACUCUGGUUUUGUUUGAAUUUUGAGCCUUUGAAUGAAAAAAAUGCCUACCCUAAAAGCAUGUGAGAGAAUUUGAUAGUAAAACUAAUAGCUGCCUCCUCAGCGUGGGGCCUGUGUUACUCCUGUGUGCUUACUAAUGUGCAACACAAGGACUUCUGUAGGCCCACUCAUGGGACUGGAGCAAAGUAAAGACUGUGAGUGAUUGGAGAGAGAGAGAGAGAGAGAGGAAAAAAAAAAAAAAAAAGAAGUUUAAAAAAAGAUUAGAUAUAGCUUUAAACAGGAAGGGAUGCUUGGAGAAGAAGCUGUGUGGUGGGCAGGCCAGAAGGCCUGGUGGUAGGAGAGCCGGCAUCCCUUUGCUAUGUGCACUACCUGGGCUGGGUAAAGAAGCCAGGAAACCAUAUCCAAAGGAAAAAACAAUGGUUGUAUUGAGAUCAGAAGUCCUUGAUGAUGGACCCCUGGGUUACAUCAGAGCUAGAGUAAGUUAGGAGGAGCAAAAACUGGAAUUGGAGAGUAGGAAGGCAGUGAAGUCAUCCCACUCAGAAUUGUGGUUGCUGUCAGGCUCCUUGGGCUGGUGGGCUUCUGCAGCAGUUACAACUAUCUGACACCUGAUUCACCCUACAUAGAUAACAGUGCUUUGUUUUGAGUUUAUGUUAGGGCCUUUUGAGGUAAUAAAAAAAGAAUUUAUUACAAGACUGUGUAAGAAUGAUUUCCGUGCAAAACCUACUUGUGGGCUACUGUAUGAAAUCCUGAACAAACGCUAGACACAAAUGGUUUUAGUGCUGUUAUUACUAAAACAGAUAGUAUUUACCCAGUUAUUUGUCCUCAAAUAACAGCCAGAGGGGUGAACAUUAAUGUUCCUAUUUCCAAUGAUGUACUCACACCUCGCUGAAGCACCAUGUUCUGUGAUUUUCUCUGUUGAAAUUUAACUCAAGACUCCUCAGGAGGGAGAGACAAUGCCUACUAUUACUUAAAUCUCUAAUGCUUCCUGAUUAUGCUUGCUGAGUAAUACCAAAAACCUUGCUUUGAAGUUUAGUAAAUUGUAAGUUACACACAUAGUAAUUUUAAUAAGUUUUUUGCAUCUACAUAUUCUUUGCAUGAUAAAUGGUUAUGUCUUUUCAGGUGAUGUUUUCAUGGAUGGUAAUACCUAAAAGAAAAGGUAAAGCCAGCUAACUCAACUCUAUAGCUAUUCUAAUUAUCUUCCCUACUGUUAAGGUCAUUUGGUUCUAGUCGGAACUGAUACUGUUCAUCUCUGAUUGUGUUCAUGAGGUUGUACUCUUCCUGUUGCCUCACUUCAGAGUAAAAUUUAUCAAAAAAUAUUUAAAUAUGCAGAAAUGGUGGUCUAGCCAAUCCCUCCUAAGACCUUGAGGAACAAAUCAAAUACCCUUUUAAGUGGUUUGAAUCUUUUCCUUGAUUUCUGUGACAAAUUGUUCAAACUUCAAAUUGUUUUGGAGAAGGAAAAAAAUACUAAAAAUGGACAUUAUACAAAAUAUACUAAACCUAAAAAGAAUAAUAAUAAUAAUAGCAUCAGAUGGAGUGGGAGCUGUGCUUACUAGAUCUGGCAAGGAAAUCAGUGUUGCCAGGAAGAGUCCAAUUACUUAAACAGAUCUAAUACAUAAGCAUAAAUCUUCUUUCCCAUUUUUAUAAUAGGCUGGGGAAAAGUUAGGUUUCAACUUGGAGCUAGAGCAUAAAUAAUAUUUUAAGUAAUACUCUUCAAUUUUCUCAGAUUAAAACUUAAUUUGUGUGCAUUAUGGUUGAAGUCUUACUUGUCACUGAAAUUAUAACCUGUGGUAAUAUUGAAUGAUAAUUACACUGUUGAUGACUUUUAAGAGUUUCCAAUUUGAUAUAGCCCUGGCUGACAAAACUACACCUUGUAAUGUGUGCUAAAUCAAGGUUUGAGAUGCACAAUGAAAGGGAGAUAGUUUUUAUAGUAGCUUUUUUUGUAGCCUUUUGCUUCAACUUAACAAUCUGCAUUUUUGCAUAAUGAUUUUUUAAACACGAAAUACCUGUGUUUAUAAAUUACACAUUUAUGUAGCUAAAUGAUGGCAAGAAUUUUGGUUAUCUGGUUAUGUGGUCUAUCUGCAAGCCAAGCUCAAUGUCUCUUAUUGUAUUAAAGCCUGAUUUUUUUUUUUCCUGGAAAGUAAUUUUUUAAUUUAUUUCUCAGAAGAAAGGGAAAACAAGGAGUAGUUUCUAUUUUACUUGUUUGUUAGUGGAAAAUACAAUCUUUCAAUAAUUAGUCUCUUCGCUUAAAUAAAAUACAGCUCACCUUUGACUGUGGUGGGCAAUCUACCCAUCAUUUUGCAGAAUUUAGGGAUAAGCUUAUGUUGCUCUCAGGUGGUAGUUCUCACAAUUUAGCAUACAUACAUGGAAUAAGAUUACAUAUAGAAGAUUAAUAUUAAAGCUGUGAAGUCAUACACUAAAACCUAUGCAGUGUUCAUUAAAACGUUGUGCAGGCAACUUUAUUUCCAUUAUUUUUACAUGUCAAGGUAUGUUUCUUUUACCCCACUAUUUUAAGGAAUAGAAAAGCUUUUUUUUUUUUUUUUAACUUGAUCUCUGUCUGUGAUCUCCAAAGACUAUCCUCAGUCUUCCUCCAUAUAUCGGUGUUGUUUACUGCCUAUCUCAUUGCCCAUCUGAGCCAGAAGACUGAAAACUUUAUAUGUAGUUAAAAACCCACAGGAGGGUGAAAUUAAGAUUCUGAGUAUGUUGUUUUGUAUGGUACCAGUAAAGUGUAAAAUAUUAUUGAUGUGAGAAUUAGAGGAAAUGGAUGUGGAGUCAAUGUUGUCAUUAGUUUGAUGCUAGCUUUCUAUAGCAAGAAUAACAGGUCAGAUUUAUGAUCAGCUACAGGUAGAAAUUCUAAUAGCGUCAGCCUGACCAGGUUUGCAUGUAUUUUUAUGGGUCAGUGCAUUUGACUCCUUUCCUCUGUACCUUCCUAUUUCAAGCAAAACAAACAUACUGGAAAUUAGUAUGGGAGACAUGGAGGAGGAAGGUGAGAGGAUAAUAGUACUUUAAAAAAAAAAAAAAAAAAAAAAAGUAUUCCUCAGCUUAAUUUUUCAAAGGCAGUGUUUCAACCUAAAAGCUUAACUCGGCUCCUGACCUCUAACCCACUUCCCCAGCAAAUAUCCUUGUGAGUCGGAGAUGAAUCAUAGAUUAGAUUAUUCUGGCUGCCAAAGGUAAAAGCAACUAAACAGUGACUGUAUAAUUAAAAAACAUUAGCUAGGUGUAAUGUGGGUGCUAUGAGCUCUGUAUUACCAAUGAUAAAAUAAGAUUAACUAUAUUUUAAUAUGGUUAGCCAGAUGGCUAGUGGAUGAGGAACCUGUUUCUUCCAAGAACAAAUGUCAAACGGAAGAGAAUAGGACAUAUUCACUUAAGCCAAUACUAAAAUAAUAUUGCAUAUAAAUACGGAAAGAAAAAAAAAAGAAAAUGAAAUGCCAGAUAUGAUUAUUUUGCAGCUCAUGGAAAAUUGUUUAUGGGACCUUACAAGCCAUUUAAUAAUCAACAAGACUAGAGAACAGUAAAUGUGGUUACUGAUCGAACAUUAGUAAUUUAGUUUCAACAUACCGUGUUUAGAGUCUGAUUCAUGGUGCACUAAAGUGGAAACCUUUCAAUAACACAUAUGGAACCAUCUGUAAUAGUUCAGGAAUACUUAAUUUUGGUGUAGUUAUUGCAGAGUUGUUUAUUGAUAGGUUAGUAUUAUUAAAGGAACAGAUUAGUUUAACUCCAUUAUGUUUCCUGUUCAGACAUAAAGAGAAGUUCUAGAUAGCUGGUUCUUAGAAGCAAAAUGCAGUUCAACUUUAUUUUAUAGGUUAGCCCAAUGGAUUAGCAAAACUGUGAGUGUGGAAGACUUGUUAAGAGGCAGUGCUAGGACUAUUAACACUGGCAAGAACUAUCUUGUUGUUUCUGACCAAUCUGUAAAUCUGAUCUGGCAAAGAAAGGCAUAAACCACAAUAUUCAAAGGAACACGGCAGCCUUGCUGUGUUUCAGUACACACAAGGGAAAACAUCAAAAAGAGGAGCGGGGAAUGUUGGCAAUGAUUGAAGAAUGUAGGCCUCAUUCUGUUAUUGUAAUGAAACAGACAAUUGGUAGCUGCACAGAAUAACACUGUUUCAAAAAAUCUUCCCUACACAUUUGCACCCUGCCAUUUUUUUUUUUUUUUUAAGUAGUUAAAACAGUUUAUCCAGUUUUCUGCUGUCAGAGGUGGUUUGAGAGCCAAGCUCUCAAAAAGAGGCUAGCUGGGCCUUUGGCUUCCUCUUAGAGCAGUAGGUGCAUACAGAUUAUUUAGCCUAUAUUAUUUAUAAAUCUGGAAAUCUGUGAAACAUUUGUUUUCUUAUUAAAGCAUGAGGCCAAAACUAUAGAGUUUUUCUUAAAAAAAAAAAAAAAACAACAGAAAAACAAAAAACAAACAAACAAAAACACAACAAAAGAAAUGCACGAAAAAAUCCAGCAAACAACAAAACCCAACAAACCGCACUGGGGAACAAAAGCAAAGCAAGUAGUCCCACCUUUGUGACAAACCCCUGGAGUCCUGUGAUUGCGACUGAUCUUUAAGUGACUAUGGCCCUCAGAAAAAAUUAAGGUGACUUAAUUGAAUUCAGAUCUAUAACCUCUAAUCGCGGGGUAUUCAAACUUGGGAAAAACUGGUAUUCAAGUGAGAAAUUCAGGCCUUACUAUGUUUCAGUUUUGUACAGAGCAGAUUAAAUCGGUUGCAGUAUGGAACUGGAGCUUCAAAGACUGCUCCCUAAAACUAUUUCUGGAUAACAUAAUCCACCUGACUAUGAAAUGCAAUAGCAGCUGUGAUUUCUAAUAAUAAUACUUUUUUUUUCUAUACACCAGAACACAUUUGUGUUGACAUUUAAGUACUGCUCAGCUGAGAUGUUUCACAGCUUGAGGGAGAAGAAAAUUUUCUCUUCCUCAACACAUCAUGAUUCUUUUUUCUGAGUGACUAACUUUGGCAGUAGGAAAGGAGAGAUGACUGAGCAGCAGAAGGGUUGCUGAAGGAUGAACAUUACAGUAUAACCUUCCCUGUGGUGUGUCCCUCUCCAUUUGAGUUCUGUGGCUGCUCCAUUCUCACUUUCUUACUAAUUGGCCCCAAUCAGAAUCCCUUGCUGUGAUAAGCCUUCCCACUAUCCCACGUCUUCAUUUCAAAGGCUGGUGCCAGCAGGCAGAAUGUUUUGUGGAUGCAAUUGCUUGGAGAAACUAAUGACUCUGGAUGAGGAAGGGAAAUGGUGUAAGACCUCAGUAAAUGUGCUCUCUGUUUCACCACUGGCCAUCUCCACUGGCCCAGCUCUCCAUCAUAUCUCCAGGUCAUAGGAGGUGGUUUGGAAGGCUGAAAGAAUGAUGUGUGACCAUUCUCCACUCAUGUGACCUAACAGAAAUACUUCAUUCAGAAACGUUCACCAGGAGAAUCUGUUGUUCUUUACCCACUUUUUUCUUUAAAGUCAGUAUUUGUCAUAAAAUAUGACAGAAGGGUUUUCCAACAUCUGGCUUUCUCAAUGAGUCUAGUGGAAUGUAAUGCUCUUAUGCCCUUCGGGAAACAUGUUUUCAACUUAAAUAUAAAAUGCUUCAUCUGCACUGAGAAUGCAGUGCUAAAAUGACCUCACUUAUUAACUGGGCUAUUUUAGGCUGGCAUCAAGUAUAAUCAAACAGGAUCAGUACACUGGAAGGGUGCAUCUUCAAAAUGGAAAGAAGAGUAGUAUAGGACUUUAUGUCAUUUUCAAUACUAGAGUGAGUUACGUAUACUGGUCCUUAGCAUUUCUAAACAUUUUUGAAGUUCGGAUAGCUUCUAGUGGCAUCUGGAGUUCCUCUUCUUUUCCUCAGUGCAGUCAUAUGAAAUUUUUGGAGAUGAACCUGCAGCACUGUUCUGUCAAGUACACUAAACACACUCUCUCUCUUCCAUGCUAGCAGUUGCACAGUGUUGCAGAGAUGUUCUCAAGGCAGUGCCUGCUGGAGAUAUCAAUAAAAUUGCAUCCUUUCCUGUUUUUAUUUUUCUCAUCUGCAAGGAUGGUUUUCAAAACUAAGGCAAGAAGAAGGCAUAGGGAAUAUUUGUUUGUUCUUCUUGAUUUUGUCUCCCUGUGACAAAAGCUGUACAAAAGUCAAUAAAUGAAACUAAUAUCAGUGAAGCCUCGAUUAUUUGAAAUAAUGGUAGCCGUAGGUCUAAUUAACUCACAGAGAGUUUGUCAGUGACCUUGAGAUAACAUCUGUACUUUCUGGGGAGCCAUCAGAAGCCACAUUUUGAAAUGUGGAAUAAACAGCUGUAGGGUUUUUUUUUGUGUGUGUUUCAUUUAUUUAUGUUUUUUACACUGUACUCAUUUGUUGUGCAUGUGGACGCUUGGUGUAAUAUGAAAUUCUGAGACACAAAUCUCAAUCUGUCAGGGAGAGAUUCAGUUAAUUCAAGUCUGCCUUCCUCCCCCCACCACCACCAUCCCCACAGCAAGGCUGCGGUUUUGCACAUUCACAACUGAGUGGCAGAGAUCUUAGAAGCACAGGAGAGUGUUUUGCAGAGUGAGUGGCUGUAAGCUGUGGCUCCUGGCAUGUGUUGUUGAUAAAUGUGAAUGUGCUGAUGUACUACAUGCCUUUGGACCACUUCCCUCCCCUUCCUCCUGAUGCAUGUGAUCCUGUUAGUGGAUCCUCACAUCACUGUGUAGGAAAAUGGAAAAAGGUUAAUGGAAAAGAUGCAUGUGCUUUUCCUUUGCUAUAAAAACUGGCCAUUCAGAGUUACUAUAAUAAAGACUAUGUUGGCUAUCUUAUCUAAAAGAUGCCACUUCUAUCUCAAGUGCUUUCAUUGUCUUGUAACUUUAACUUUCUAGCAGACAGUAAUGAAUUCCAUUUGUCAGUCUGUUUGUGGAUAUGUUCAAGUAAAAUUUAUAGAUCUGAGUUAACAUUUUCUGGUAAAGCUUUGUGGUUUUUGACAGUUUAAUGCUGCGAGACAUAAGCAGACAGUUUCAGGAUCUUCGAAUCCUUAUUUUUUUGGUAAAUAGCAGCUCUGUUGUUCCUGUAGAGAGGUUCACCAAAAAUAAUAAGAUGCUUCUGAUGAACUGUAUUUGGCAGAAAUCAUGAACUUUCCUUAUAGUUUCUUUCCUUCUGUUUGAAACAUGGAACAAAGAGGUGAAGCUUAACAGCGUGUUACUUGUCUUUAGGGAAAAAAAAUAAAAGGAAAAGUAAAUGGAGCUUUAAUAAUCUCUCUGAUUUUAUAAUUGUUUGUUCCCUAUGAUAGCGAAUGUCAAAUUACUACCUUAAAAAAAAUAAAAAGCAUUUUAAAGUGUUAUGAACGUACAGGGAGACUAUUCUAUAGAUGUCAAAUUUUCAAAUGACCUUUUUUUUUUUUAAUUUAUGAAAAUAAAACCUUUAAUAAUAAGAUUCUUGGGGAAAAAAAAAAUUACCAUUAUCUGGAAGGACAACCAUAAUUUUCUCCUAAUUAGAACUGAUUUUCUAUAAAGGUGGGCAAAAUUGAGCCUCUACCACUUUUGUGAAGCAAACCCUCAUGAUAUUUUUCUUCUUUGUACUGCUAAGAUUUAUCUCAUCUCUAGUUGUUAACGUCAACUGUAUGAUGAUUUUAAACCACUGCCAGUAUUGCCACAUGUGAUUCUGUUGAUUUACUCAAACCUUAUAUGCAGUAUUUGAUUCAUAGUUAAAUUGUAGGACACUGAGGAGUCAUGAGGAGAUGAACUUUUCUUGUUUCCAGCUGGAAUGGGCAGAGGUGUAGGUGACUUAAAACAAGCUUUUCCAUAAGUGGGUUCACAGAGUAGAAGAUCCUGUAACUCUUCCUUGCAAAUCUUGAAUUAUCAAAACUGUGGAACUAGCUUGAGCUAUUCUUCAUAGUCUGUUCUGUACUGUAAGAAGAACUGGGAGGAGUAAUAUGAUGGAAGGGGUCAGCACUUAAGAAUUGUAACCAGGUUGGCGUGAACUUUUAAGAGUUAAACAGAGAGGUAAGGCACCAUGUGUUCAUAACUUGCCCUGUUGUGUCUAGGUAAUGCAGUACAUAUGGCCUUCUCUCAGGAGCAGUGGGAGAGUGUACGUGCCAUAUGUUCUGCUAUACCUAGUCACUUGCAGGAAGUUAAGGACAAAGUGGCAGCUUUAACUUAUAAUUUCCUUUUAUUGGUGUGUAUCUCAGUUUUAAUGUGCUCAUUUGCAUAAGUUUAAAUAACUAUGUAAAUUCUAGCUUUGAAACUGACAUAUGGUAUUUUAUGUGCACAUCUAUCCUCUAAUGUAUACUUAAGGAAUACAACACUUUGACUAAUAGAGCCCAAAUGCUGCACUAGAGACACGUUGCCUGCUUCUAUCGCUUCUACAUUUAAUGCCUGAAAGGAAAGAAAAAAAAAAUUCCUUUUAUUCCAGGACAGUUGCAUUAUGUAGGAGGCAGUUGAGUCUGUCUGGAAUUCAAACUGAACACAGCGUAAUGUAAACAGUAUGUCACGCUGGAGAGUAAUGGUUUUAAGAAGUUUUCAGAUUUUCAAAGCCCAGGUGAAACUAGAAUUUCUAAUGAAUGAACUUUUGAGGAGGUUAUUGAUGUAAAAUGAUUAUUUCAGCACUCUUGACGAGUUCCUAGUUUGUCAUCUUUUUUUCUCACGCUUGUAAAACCCCAAUAGACAUCAGUACUAGUAAUUCCUUCUGUGCCCUCACAAAUGAAUUCUGGUUUGCAAAUUGCAGUAAGGUGGAUUCUAUAAUAUUAGUUGAUGCAACUGCUAUUAUUAUUUUUGAAAUUGCAAUUUAUUAAGCUUAGGGUCCACAGAACAGUCUGCGCUUGUUGAAGGGGACUCUUUAACACCAUCUAGUUGCUUUUCUUUUUGUUAUGCAUAACUAGUAUCAUGGGUGGCUUAAGAGAAAAGAGCAAGUGCAUAUAACAGCUUUAUUUUACAUUCUGAUGUUACAGAAUUUCAGUUUUUGCACCUAUUUUGCUGUUACUUGGUUUUCUGUUUCGUCUCCUAAAAAAUGCGGAUGCUGAAUAGCUUAUGCAAUCAGAGAAAUGAAGAGAAUGCUUGUACAGCUAACACUGCUGCUGAUCUCACAGUUCACAAAGUCUUGGUCUCUACUCCUGUUGCUCAUCUUGCAUAGGCUGCGAGGAUCAGCAAGCAGUUCCCCUUCGCUGUAAAUUCAGUCACUUGCAAAUUCAUAACAGAUUUUUGGUGGGACUGUAGGACAUAGAAGUUAGUACGUGGAGAAUUGCCCAGAGACCUCCACAGAUUUAGUACACUGCAUGCCAGCCAGUCUUGAAGUUGUCGCCAUUCCUGCACCAACAGUUCUUGACCAAUUUGAUUCCAGUUCUCCACUUAGGCUUUGCAGCAUGUGUGUGGGUGCGCUCUUGUAUCCUUUGGCUAUGUGAAGAAUAUGAGCUGGAGACCUUGGUAUGAAAUACUUAUACGAUAUCUAAAAAUUGUUUAUAAAAACUAUGAUAGAAGAAAUGGAAGGCAUGUGAUGCUAGAUCACAUUUUUGUAGAUAGAUAGAUAGAUAGAAUUGCAAUUUUGUAGAUAGAUAGAUAGAAUUGCAAAGUUCCCACUUCUUCCCUCUCCUUUCCCCAUCCCUCUCUAUUCCCUCUCCUCCAACCCUGCCUCCUUCAUCCAGCAGACCUGCUGUAGGCUUCUGUUGCCUGGCAAGAAAUUCUGUAUUUCUGUAACCCCAGACUGUGUCCAUCUUCCUGAUUAACUUCCUUCUGGAAAUCCUUCAAGGGAUCAAUGCAGAUUGAUACUUUCUCCCAAAAGUUGUCAGUUUCCUUUGUAAUCAGCGUAUUUCUUAACUACAGUAAAGAUUCUUCUGUUCCUUUGGAGACAUAAAUGUCUCUUUGUUAGACACAGCAUUACUUUCUGUAUUGAUUAAGCAGUUAACAAUUCAUCAGCUCGAUGAGAGAUAAUACUCCUCAUAGCUCCUUUUAGUGACUUAGGGUGGGAUUCCAAACAAUUCAUUGGCAGCACUGAAGUUUCUGUUCAUCAUCUCUGCCUUUUCUUUCCUUCCCAUUCCCCACGUUUCGCUUGGUGCGGCCCUUAGCAAGAACUGAUUCAGCUCAUUGGUUGCACAGAAAAAGAACCCAGCAGAGCAAGAAUCCCACUUCUGUCAUGUUAGGAGGUCAGUUUGGCUUAUGGAAACAGGCAGGGCAUAGAGCAUAUGGCAGGUGGAGGGCAAGGAGGCAGGACUUCUCCUCUUCACCCAGCACUGCUUUGGUUGCUCAGCGCUUAUGGGAAUGGUUGAGUUUUCAGUGUGUCUCUCUCACUGUGGAAUCUCAAUCUUCGUUCACCUUCUAUUUGUAUGCCUUUGUACAGUAAUAAGUUUGCUUAAUUCAGCAAAUGUAUGUAGGUCAUUAUUAGCUUCUCAUUGUCAGAAAGCGUGAUGUUAAUAAACCAGUUCGGGGUGACAUGGGAUUUAGAAUGACUGGCACCCUGCGUCUUUCUUCCCUGGAUUCAGUGGUGCUGGGAUAAAGGCAAAAGAUGAGCAAGUGAAGUAUCUUUUGUUCUUCCUUAUAUUCACUGCAAUGUAUUUUGCUAAACAGGCUCAGAACUUGCUGUGUAAAAAUCUGGAGUGGGAGAAAAAGCUACCUGUGACUUCUCUUAUGGGGGAAAAAAAAAGGAAAAAAAAAGGAGCUUUACCCACAGCUGAUGUGCUCUUAAAUUCCAUCACAAUCCCAAUGUGGUGAGGGAUAUACAGUAAAACAGUAAGUCAAAGAAGCUUCCAGAAAGGCUGUGUUAAAUGUUGUGCUUCAUCUGUUUGUAAGAUAAGAAUUUUGUUACUAAUAACUCUAAUUAUUUUGAUUUAGUAAACAUGGAUGAAAAAUAAAAAUUGGUCCACACAAAAAGCUUUAAAUAUACUUGUAUAAAUACUUACGUGUAUACAUUUUAUAUACAAAUGUGUAUGCUUACACAAUUUCUGGAGUGAAGCAUUGCAGAGUUAGUAACGUGACACUGGCAUUAAGCUGGACAAGCAAAAUGAGAGGUCAAGCCUGUACUCAUCUAAAUUAUUAUCAAAAUUGUGCAUCGCUCUGUAUUAUGCAACUGUAUUAUUUCUUCUCUCUUUCUGCCCACCAUCAUUAAACAAGCAUUUAUUUUGUUUGCAGCAUUAGUAAGGGUUGGGAUGAGAGUAGCAAAAAGGCUCCAUUUUGCUUUCAUUCUCAUUAAUAAUAAUAUUUCUUUGCUGAGGACUGACAUGAUCUCUAGCAAGUUAGGUGAAGCGACAUAGAGCAGGCUUCCCACCCCACCUUGAUGGGCAGCCUGUUACACUGCAGAUGACUGUGGGCAGGAAUGCAGUUGCUGUAGGUAGAUGCACAAGUAGUACAGAAAUACAGAUUCACACAUUUCUUCCACAUCUGUGACCUACUUGAAACAGCCUCCCUGGGACAUAAGUAGCUGGGUUGUUGACAAGCAGAUGCUCUUUUAUCCUACUGAUGCAGCAGAUAGAGAGUGCAAGGAACCGGUGUGGCUGUGGUAUAGUUGAGUAGAUGUUAUCUGGGUUGUAGCAACUACGUUGCAGUGUAGCCUGUUCUUUAUUAGUUUAAAUUUUUUUUAUAGUUAUGUUUAAAAUGAGCAGAACACACUUUGUUUAUGAGCAAGCUUGAUUAGCUCUGCCCAUUAUGAAGUAAUCAAAUGCUUCUAAUUACUUUCACGACUAUAUGUUUGUUUGAUAAUAUUCUUUCAAACUGAGGCUUUUAAUUGCUUCUUUAGUGGUUCAUUUCUCCAGAAAUGCUGGUUGUAUGAAUUUCUCCACUUUCCCAUCUCUUCAUGCUUGUAUAUGAGUUCAUGAAGUGUGACUUCACUGUGACAUGUAUUUAUGCCUAAGUCAAUAUUUUUUUAAUAGCAUGAGCUUCCCCUGUCUGUUAUCUUUCCUUGACAACGAUUACAGAAGUAAACACUGAAAAACACAUCUGCAAUACUGAAGCUGGCCUCUUUGUAUCAGCUGUCCACUGAAGGUCUCUUGUCUAGCAUAUGCUGCUGCCAAAUCUCUGUCUCGUGUUUUUAUUUCUUCUCUCCAGGGAAAAAUCCCCUAUGGAGCAACCCUCUUUUCUGCUUCAGAAGCCAAUGACUUGCUUGUAAACAGCGCAGUCCUUACUAGUAUUGCUAGGAAAAAAGCCCGACAACAUCCACCACAAAGCUCUACAAUUUAUCAGAUACUGUGGGACUGCGACAUUAGCUUCCUAUUAUUCCAGUCUUGGAGUCAAUACAAAAGGUGCCACCAGGAAAAGAGAACCUGACUAACCAAUUCCCACUGACUGAAAAACGAAUUAACCCCAUGGGGAACUGCACAAAAUGGUCUCCAAAAGACUUCUCCAGUCUUUUGAGUAGUCUUUCAUCAAGCACCGUGUAAUGAUGCAAAAUUGGUCCAAGCCUUGAAAUUAGAUACUUCAGUAAAGGAACUCUGAAUCACUGUGCUGGAGAUAGCUGUAUCUUGAAAGCCCAGCUAGUUUUGUGUAGUAAGAGUGUUAAAUAGAAAAGUCUGCCUAAUUUUUAGAAGUAUACCAAUAAUAUGUGUUUAUUUUUUCCAAUUUUAUUAUUUUUUCCCACAGUACUUUUCUUGAGAUGGAAACUUACGUGUGCUUAAAUUCAUCUGCUUUCUUAUUCACUUGCUUCUUAAAUAGCUGGGUAUGAGCUGGGCUGAUGUCUGGCUUCAUCCCAGAGAAGAAGUUGGUGCCCACCAUUCUGUGAAGAGGUCUGUGAGCUGCUAUAGCCAUGCUAUGUAUUUGAGCGUGGGCAAGAAGAUGUAGCCAUAUUCUGGUCCUCCCAGUAACAACAGCAAAAGCUUUCCCAUUCACUCUGUUUUCCCUGCAGGGCACACAGAAUUUUGCUUAACAGGAAUGUGUUUUAUGCUGAGUUUGUAAGCAAUAAAGCACACUUUUGUGCUUUCUCAUAGAUGCUUGACUAAGAACUUAAAAUGUGGAGUACCUAUUUAUAAGGAGAUCUCAAACAUGAGUGCAGAGUCUUUCAGACUUCACCUUUCUCCCCUUUCAAAUUUGACCUAUCAAGACUUAAUGAAGUGUGCAGCAUUCAGAAUUACUCUAAUACAUUUGCCGUUUCCGUUAUUCUCUGUAUGCGCAGAAAGUUUCUACUGGGAUUCUUCUUUGUGCUUGUUUUAGUGUGCUGAUGAGAUGGCAAGUAAUACUUAAUUUACUUAAAUUAGGACAAUAACUACAGGUGUUCAGUUAAAACAGGUUCAGAUUAGUUGUUACAGUUUAUUUUAAGGCACUCAGUCUCAUCAGAGACUAAUUCUGACCAUGAUACAGAAGACUUCUGCUACCAAUUGAUUGCACACUGGUCCCAUUUUGAAUGUAACAGCACUAAUGCCAUGAGAAGGGCCAUUAAGUGUUCCUUCCAUCUCCAUCAGGGACACAGAGAAAAUCAGCAACCAUAUGUUGCUAAUGUUAAGGGGGCAGGGAGAAAUGAGGGCUCCAAUCCCAUAGUUAUAAGCACUGAAUAAAGAUUCCACACAGAGAGAUAUAGGCAAGACACACAACAGCUUUCAAAAUUAAUGCAAGUGUUAAAAGGAAGUUUAAUGAAUGAUCUGAUAUGGCCAGAACAUCCGUUUUCCACUUCUGUUCAGAAGCACUUGAGUUAUUUUAGAAUCUGGGGAGUUUGAGAAGCCAGAUUGUGUUGCAGAAGUAGAAAGCACAAAAAAGAGAUCAUCUUGGCAGUAUCUCCCUCCCUUGCAAAGCAGAAUAUCAGUAAAGGCUAGUAGUUCAGUAAGAGGUUGUAUUUGCAUGGCUUAGGUGUCCAAUCUGUGAAAGCAUAUAUGCAAUUUGUAAUCUGUAGAGUACCGUCACACAGUUGGACUUAACCUAAUUCCCUCAGAAGGUUGAUUAGUUCAAAAUACUUCAAAUGCCUUCUUAUUGUCGUUUUUCACAGAGCUUCACUCAGCUCUAACAGCAGUAGUAGUGUAAGAAGUAUCUUUAAAAAUGGUGUCAGGCAUGAGUUCUGGGAAAGGAAGGAGUAAAAGUAUAGCAGGAAGAAAUACCGCUGUGAGAUGAAAGGAUGGAAAAAGAGAAGGGAGAAAACAGUGACAUUAAAGGAGGAUGUAUGGGAUACCAUCAAUGAUCAAAACACUCUUACACUGUAAAGGCAGAGUCAUAGAAUCAUAGAAUGGCCUGGGUUGAAAAGGACCACAAUGAUCAUCGAGUUCCAACCCCCCUGCUAUGUGCAGGGUUGCCACCCACUAGACCAGGCUGCCCAGAGCCACAUCCAGCCUGGCCUUGAAUGCCUCCAGGGAUGGGGCAUCCACAACCUCCUUGGACAAACUGUUCCAGAGUCAAUUAAUUCCUUCUGGACUGGAGAAAAAUACUAACGAGCAGAUGGUAUCAGUGCUUGGUGUGCUUUUGUUUUGGUUUUUCAUUUGUCUUGUGGGAAAUCACUGCUUUUUAGAAGAUUUUUAGAUAAAAUAGAAAGUUUUUGGAACUUGCAGGACUUUUGUGCAUUUCAAGUAAGAAAUAAUAUUUUGUUUUAGUAGAGUGUAAGAACAGUGAAUGUGUUUAAUUCCUGAAAAUGCAAUGGCACAGAGAAAACAAAGAGAACUUUGAGUGUUCUUGGAGCUGAGUGCACACUCACCAACACUAGGAGACUCAAUAGCUUCUGUGAGGGUGAGAGGUGUGGAGAAGGAAGUAAAGGUAGUGGGAGUGCUCCUAACUGCCCCUUGCUCAGUCUGCAUGUCAGCGUUAGAAAUUGGGAGAGAGGGAGAAGGCAGGUAAAAUGCUAGCAGCAGCAGCACUGGCAAUGAACACAAGGUAUUAAAUCAUUACUGGGACUUGGAAUAUGAUUAGUGAAGUUAAUGGAAAACUAAGCCACUGUGCCAAAUGACUGUUGCUAGGUUAAAGGAGGCUAAUUUGCAACACCGUAAUGAAAUUAGGCAUGCUGCCUUUGUUCCUGACACGGAACAUGAGGGGAAAAAAAGUUGCAUGUUUUGUGCACUUUUGGCCCCUCAACUUUCCUGUUGGAUGGGACAGCUAGAAUGGUGCUACCAAAUUUGUGUGACAGCUAUUCUUGGUGACUGGGGGGUUUUUGAAAGUGACUGGGGUUAGACAUAUUUGCCAGAUGGAUACUGAACCUGUCAGCCAAGUGCCACUUUGAAGGUGGGGACAGAUCAUUAAGAAUUUUCUUGUCUAUCACCUACCUUUUAAAUAGAAAUAAUUCCCAAGAGGUAUCACAUGUUUUAGCAAAACUUUGGAGUAUGAAGAUUUCAUAGGCUCCUUACAGAGCUGGAAUGUUUGUCCUCAGUCUGCAUGGCUAUGGUUUAAUGCAUGUUCUGUCCUGGCUGUUUUAUUUUUGCAGGAAAUGGUGUUGUUUUAUUGCACGUAAGUCCUGCUCUCUAAGCUAAGCACAUAGUACUUACCAGAAUUUCUUAAAACUUGUGAUUUUUAUUUAUAUUUUUAUUAGCAUCUGGAAACAAUGGAUGGGAUUCAAUUUACUUGCUUUCUAGAUAGCUACAGUUACAACCAUCAGAAUGUGAUCUAACAUGUUUUUAUAGUCAGAAGAGAGAAGCAUUCGCUUCUGAAGUCCAUUCAUCCUAACCUGUAGGAGCUGCAUGGAGUAAACUUGUUUAUUCCUUUCUAAAUAUUAAGGGAACCUCAAGUGCAGAUGUCUAGACUCAUGCUUUUUAUCACCUCUCACUCCUACUUAUAAAACUGCUGAGGAGUAUUAUAGUUAUUUUAUUUUAAAUAGCAUUCAUUAAAUAAAUAAUAUUUUAUAUUGGUUUUCCAAUGAAUGAAACCCUCUGUACGAAACCAGAAUCACCUAGCCUUUUCAACACAGGCUACAGGAAUGUCAAGAAUUUAAUAUUAAUAUAUUAUAUACUUUUUUUGAAAUACAGUACAAAUAAAAUUAGUAUCUUAAUACGUUAUAUAUGUAUGUCGGUUAAGACUUGUUAUAACAAAAGAUUAGGUAACAAUCCUCGUGCAGUUCUGUUUAUUGCAGAGCUUGACCUCUUAUAUAAUCGUCCUCAGCUUUAAAGCAGCUCCUCUUCCCUAACAUUUCCCAUCUUAAAUAGUAAUGAAAUGGCCUAAAUGUUUUAAAGAGUUUAAAUAUUUCAUGAAACUUGAGUGAUUAUUUUGGUGGAAUAACAGAGGUAGGUGUUGAAGUGGAGUACCUCUUUUGCAACUUCUCAGAAAAUUUAAUCACUUGACCCACUUGCACAGUUUCUUUAACAAGCAAGUAAUGUUUCUCUAAAACAUCUAAUCUUGUUAGUCUGUGUGGAUGCUCCUGGCUUGCGCUUGUUUGCCUGCUGCGUUAUACAGACAGUGGGUAUGAUUCUCUUAACAGAGACAGAUUCAGGCUAACCACAUUUUAUGAAGAGGUUUAUAUAUGAGGGUUAAGGAGAAUAUUUCAGCUAAUGCUUAUUUAUUGUGAUAUGUUUCCUUAAUAAACUCUUGAAGGGAAAAAAAAAAAAAAAAAAACAAGUUUUGCAUCGCAAAGAACUGUGAUUUUCAGAGAAAUUUGGGUAAGAUUGAUGUAUGAUGUGAGACAUAGAGAACACAAUGCUGUUUUUUUUCAGUCUCCAAGCAAAAUGUGUAGCACAGCGAGAAUGACAGCCAAACCAGAUUAUAGCUCAACAGGAACAGUUCCUGCAUCUCAGCGAACUUCAUGCAACUCAGUAAUUUAUCAUUGUUUUUUCUUACCUUUUACAGGAAUGCGUUUUUAUUCUGUGUCCUUACCCUACAGGCUAUUGCCUAGGCAACAUUCCCACACAGAAAUUACCACCAAAAAUUACACUGUCACGAGUGUAUACUUUGCAUAAUUUUAUUUUCACUCUGAUAGAAAGUAUUAUAUAUUUUCUGUAUAUGCCUUGCACUGAAGGUGGCAUAGUCUCACUUGCUUUAGGGUACUGAUUCUCUCCUUCAUUAUAGCAGCUAGCAUAAAUGGGAAAAAAUUAUAAUUUUAACCUCAUACAGAGCCACUCAAGGGUUUCUAGUAUGUCGGUAAAAAUGGUAUUUUCUGCACUAUAGUCAAGGACCUUGUCCUGAGAAGAGAAGGGUGGGUAGGGCAGAGUCACGAACACCUGGUUUGAGCCCUUUCCCACUGCUGGCACUGUGGGACAUUGGCCUGGGGGCACUAGGUUGGCACCUGUGGCCCUCCCCAGAGCAUCCCUGAAGCUCCUGAGCAGCACAAUGGCUUCCUGGGCAGAUGAAGUGUUUUGCAGCUGGAGCCAGCCCUGGUUGUGUCACUCAAGGCCUCCUGCACAAUUUGUGUGAUGAGCACCUGUGAUGGGGACCCCAGGUGCUGAGGAGCCAUGCUUUGCACCCACUUGAAGGCAGUGGGGGAACGGGGCUGUCCCAUCACUGGGUGGGAUAUGGGUUGCCCAGAGACGUUGACCACGCUGUGCUAGACAGGUGCAAUUACAGCCUUCUCACCUGUAGUUACUCUAUGAAGGGGUGUUUAAGUAUAGGUUUGCUAUACAUAACAAAACUCUUAAGCGUUGCAAUUAGCAUAACUGCUUUCUCUCUAUGAUAUCUGGGACACACAGUUGUAUAGGUGAACGCUUUUUCUAGGUAGAAAACAUUCCUUUUAACAAUCUCAAGUCUGUUUUCUCAGGUUAUUUUAAUUUAUAACUCACUUCAAUUACCAGUAACAGCAAUUAUGGAGGUAACAAUGUAAAGUAACUUUGUUAAAUUCAAAAUGCAUCUGGAUUUGAGUCCUGCAGUGGCAUUUUAUUGUAAUUUAACUCAACAUUUCAGUCAUUGCACUAUUCAUUAUCUCGUUUUCUUCCUACGUAUAUUCAAUAUAUAUACCUUGGAUGAUCUACUGCUAUCAAAUAAACUGAGUUAGAAAAAGGCUACAUACUGUUCAAAUGGUUUUGCUUGAUGACUAGGUUAAAAUAUGCCGAAGAUGCUGUAGAAUAUGCUUAAACUCAUAUUAAAUGUUUUACUAAUACAAACUACAGCUAUUGUUAGAUGACUUCUUAACAAUUUUCAUGGUGACAACAUGGUUAUAGGUCUUCUAGAUAACCUUUAACAUAAAAUGUAGAGUAUAAAAAGCUUAUUUGUGAGCCAAAAUAGGAAUAUUUGUUUUAAAUCCAGUCAGUAGUUUAUUUUAAAUCCAAGUCUGUAGUUCCUCCCUGGUAGAAAAAGUACUAGUUUCAUAAACACUGUUCUUAUCUGUCAUAUUAGUUAUUUUGUUGUUGUUGUUCCUUUAUUUUUGUGCGUGUGUUGGAUUUUUUUUCCCAAUGAAAGAUCCUAUGUCUUCCGUGACAACUGAAUAGCUCUAUGAAUGGUUCAUUUCUUGAGCAGUAGGGGUUUGGACGAGGAUACUUUAAAUUAGUCUAUAUGACCAUAUCCAUCACAGAGCUUUGCUGACACAAGAGGUCUUCACUGGAACAAAAUGGGAAAAAGCAGAUGCUUUCUUGGGAGUUAUUUUAUUUGAAAAUCCCUGGAAACCUUUUUUAAAACAAUGAAACUUCCCUUGAAGUCACUUACUGUGUACUUAAGAUCUUGUGUUUUAGCAUGCUCAGCUGGUGGCAUUUUAAAGAGUCAGCACACCACAAACUUCAGUAUAGAACCUGUUUUAGAUCCAUAUAUGUUUAAGCACUUUCAUUUAAAUCUGAUUCCCCUGCUUCUCCACCUCUUUUUUUUCCCUCCAGAUUUAGAACAUUAAGGAAAUCAGAUACAAUAGCUAUUGGCUAUUUAAAAACUGUUGAAGUGUUAAGGUGUAAUGAGAUGGAGUAUCAGCCUGGACAUUCAGUUUUAAUUUUGAUCUAUCCUGUUUUUCUGUUCAUUACUUAGUAUGUCCUCUAAGUUUGACUUUUGAUUUAGAAAAUACUGUAUUUUUUGCAUACUUUGAAUAUAUCUUCCUUAGUUAUUACACGUAGCUUUGUUAGCCCAAAUGUUUUGGUUCCUGUGAAAGUUACCAAAUAGCGAAGUAACAUCUGGUACAAAACAUGUUGACUAUUUUAAAAUAAGUGUAUUGUACUUUUUAAAGCAUCUUCUGUGCCUUUCCAUCAUGCUAUUGUUAGAAAGCAGUAUCUUUAAAAUAUGUUUUGGGUUUUCUUGAGGUUAAAACCUGUAUUAAACCAGCUGCUGUCAGGACUUCAGUUGCUCACUCAUGGAUGAGGAGAGGCAUUCGGUGUGGGAUAAGGGGUGUGUGUGAGCAGCCACUUCUGGCUUGUGCAUCCAACAGCAUUUGCUGAGGGAGCUGCACAAUUGCAACAGCAAAGGAACAGCUGCUCUCUUUGUGUGGCUUCGCAUCUCCCUAAACAAAUGGUUGAUUAGAAACUGUGCAAAAAAGCUGUAUUCAGCACAAAACAGGAAGGUGUCUUGUGCUUCUGAAGUGUGCACGUGACAUUUACGAUGAGAGGAAAAGGAGGUGUGAUAGGAAGAAACGUUGUCUCCCUAAAGAGAUUUGGCUUCUCAGAGCCAGCAAAAAGCAGUCUUGCUUUUAUCAUGGAAAGCCAAGCACUAAAACCUCAUAGCAGCUUUUGGGAACAACAAAAAAAAAAAGUCAAGAUCUGUGGUUAUAUGGAUGAGGCUACAUUUUAAAGCCCACUGCUGUCAAUUGCUGCAAUUUAUGGAAGCUUUCCUUUCCUUAAAAAUGUUUUAUUCUGUUAUGUGGUGGUACUCCUAGAGGUGAGUACCGGUAUUUCAAGUUGGAGAUUCUUGAGAGUUAGAUGUGAAUAUACAUCAAAUUCAGUUGUUACAACAGAGCUAAAUUUGAUCUCGUGGGUUGUUUACAGGCAUUGUCCUCAGCGCAUAUGCGCUCCAUCUAAAUCUGAGUGAAGCUCAGUUUGUGGUGAACAGCAACCAGUUACCAUUUACAGAGAAUGGAAGGGGAUGGUGGUGUCAAUACAACAGCUCCUGUUGGCAGUGGGCCCCUGGCCAUUAAUCCACCUGGGCAACUGAUAUGUCUUUUGGCAAGAGACAUAGCAGAAUCUGCUUCCUGGUUGAACAGAGAGAUGUGACAGAACAAAAGCAGACUGGCUUAUAAAUGCUAGGGAUUAGUAUAAUUCAUUAUCUUCCCCCCUCUUGCCAUCACCUUUUCCUAUCAAUCUUCCCUGGAAGAUGGCAGCAAUAUUUGCCUUUUUAUCAUGGAGAUGCUGUGAUGACUAAAUUAAAAAGACAAUUUAGAUUUGUUUAGAAAUCUUCAGUGACCCUCAGGCCAUAGGCCUGCAAUUAGUCGGAGCAUUUUUUGUCCUUUGAAAACAGGUUUAAUUAUUGGCAUUUGUGCUCUCACACAUAAUCAGCGGGACCCUAUUUGUGUUUCAGCUGAAGCCGCCUCUUGAUGGCCAAAUAAACAGCACCUUUUUUAUAUGGAAUAAAUUGUUGGCAUCAAAUGCUAAUUCAGAAUUAGCAUUAUUUAAAAACCUCUGAUGCUAUAAUCUUGACUGUGACUAUUUUUGUGGCACAAAAGCUAUUGUACAAACUAGGGCAAGUGUGGAAAACAGUUUUGCGGCUCCUCUCUCCUGCCAUCCCCUUCUGUGUAUGAGAAGUCCUUCCUCAAAAGCCAAACCUCAGUAUGAACACAGUCCAGGCUGUUUACAGUGAGAGAACACCUCAAUUCAAGCAGCUGUCAGGGAACAGGUAUUAAUCAUGCCAAUAUUCAGCAAGCCAUGUCUGAGAGCUUUCUUGUUCCUUUGAGCUUAAUAUGGAUAAAGCAGGUGGAGAAAGAGAAAUUGGAAAAGGUGGCUUCACUGAUAAGAAAGCCUACCAUAAACUUUGAAUUAGUGACAGUGUACCAGAUUUGCCUCUGGAGUGUUUCAUUAGUAUUGUGUACUGCUUCUACCGCAUGUUAGCUUUCUGCUGACAUGUCACCUGAGAUAACAACAUCAUCUAUUUAACGGGCACAGGAAGGAAACAAAUUAGUUUCCUACCAUCCAAGGAAAAAUGUGAAUGCUCAACACAUUCACAGUGUUUUUGUACUCACUGGAAAUUGUUUUACGUUUAUGAUUUACACAUUUUUCUUAGUAAACCAUCAUUUUUUAUUUUUUCCCCUGAAAAUUAUAUGACAGAUUGAACCAGGGAGCUAGAUCUCAUUCAGGAGGUAAAGUAAUGUACAAUAACAUGAUGGGAGCAGCUGCUCUCUUUGUACAGUUUGCUAGGUAGAUUGCUAUUGCAGAGCUUAAUAAGGACAAAACCAAUUAGCUGAUUAGAAGCUGCCAGAAAUAAGAGAGAACACGUAAGUAACAACAGAAGUAAACGCAGUUCUUCAGAAAUUUUGCUCAAUGCUACUGAUAUAAGGAUUUCUAGGAAAUAACUGUGCAUUAUAUUGUGCCUAAGACUAUAAUAAUCCAACACCUUUUUUUAAGCUUGUUUAAGAGAUCUUAAUAAAACUGCAGUGCUAACCAAGUACAAAUUCUACACAUUAAAUGGCAGAUUUUAAUAAAUAGAACAGCUGAGCAUUGAUCAAAGUUAAUACUCAAGAGCUACAUAAAAGAAGGCAAGCUCUAAAAUGAACAUUUUAAUACUUUCAGAGUAACGUGGGAUAGUUAUUUUUUUCAAGAGGCAUCUCAUUUAAAUGUAAAUCUGGCAUUCUGUUAUCAAAGUGAUUUUUUUAAUCAUUCUAUAUUUCUAGGGAUCUGGGAUCAAAGUCAUUUAUUGCACUUGCAAGUCAGUUUAUUCAAGAUGGCCAGUGAUGAGUUGUGAAUUACCUUGAAGGUAGAGUUCAGAGCAAAUAUUAAAGAAAGCGAAUGGACCGAAAGUGAAUUCUGAAGGGCUCCAUGAUUUUAAAACUGCAAUCUGUACUUUUUAGCUCUCAGAUGAUCUCAUAGAAGUGAUAAUUCAUCAGAUUCUGUCUAGUCUGGCACAGAAAAGCCCAAGGGAAAAGAAAUUGGGAACAGUGUUAGUGCAAACAGGUACUGCAAAAGCACAGCAAUACAUCCCUCAACACCACUUAUGCCAGUUGGCACAGGGCAGGCCAUGUCUUGGAUGGAAGAAAUGAAACCAACUGAAUGUAAACAGGGAGCUUUUAUAGCUCUCUCUUCGCAGGUAGCAUGAUGGCUGCAGUGUAGCUAUUGAUACACAGCCUUGAACCCUUCUACACUGGAAUGUCUUUCAUUAAAUGCGGAUAUGCAUCCUAGUCCUACAUGAAAUUCUUCAGGAGGCCUCUGUAAGCCAUGUCUGAAUGAAUUUUUGCAAGUUUUAUGAUAAAAGAGAGUGGGCGACUGUUUUUUUCAGAGCAGGUUGAAUUGAAAGCAUUCAGCUGCAUUCUUUUACCUGUAAUACGUAUAAAACCUGUGUAACUCCACUGUAGUCAGGAAGUAUUGAAAAAUAACUUUAAUACUAAUAACAGAUGCACAAGUUUAAAUACCUGUUUGUUGCAGGUCAGUGUUGGAGACAGAAGAUAUGGUCAACCAGAAAAUUGUUUUCACAGUGAAGCAAUUUGUACAUAGUUGUUUACUUUUUCUUUUGUAUCUAUGUACAAAUAGGGCACCUGCGAUGUUGCUGUUAAAACUGCCCCUCCUCACAUUGUUCUAGAGCAGAAACAAGCUCUAAAUAUCACAAUUGCUAAUGCUAUGUUUUCUCACCAUCUAUAUGUGUUUUGAUAUGUGUGGUUUCUUGCUCAUGUAUUUCAAAUAGUUUAAAUAAAUUAUAAAUAAAAGAAGCAAUCAUUGCAAUAGGCAAUUAAAUCUAAGGCGUGUGCUUGUGCUGGGAAGUGCACAGUUGACUUAAAAGAAUAGUGCCUAAUGAUAGUAUAUCAGCUUGCAAACUAAUUUUGGAAGCAGUUUACAUCCUUUUCAGUUGGGUGCCUGAAGCUCAGAGCGGCAUGUUCUGGUAAACACACCAAUAAUAUGGCAAUGAAAAACAUGCAGGAUGGAAAAGUGAGUUGUUGUGUCAUCGCCCAGAUUCUGAGAAGGGGAUGGAUAGCCAAGGUGUGCAGUUCAGUCAGCAGAACCUAAUGAGGUUCAAGAGAGCCAGGUGGAAGGUGUUGCUCUUGGGUCAGAACAAUCCCAGGUAUAUGUACAGACUGGGAGAAGAACUUACUGAGAGCAGCCUUGCUGACAAGGACUUGGGGAUUCUGAUGGAUGAAAAACUGGACAUGAUCCAGCAGUGUGUGCUUGCAGCCUAGAGGGCCAGCUGUAUCCUGGGCUCCAUCAAAAGAGUCAGAGGAUGGUGAGACACUGGAACAGGCUGCCCAGAGCAGUUGUGGAUGCCCCAUUCCUGGAGGUGUUCAAGGCCAUGCUGGACGGGGCCCUGGAUGGCCUGAUUGGGUGCCUGAUUUAGUGGUUUGCAACUCUGCCCAUGGCAGGUGAGUUGGUCACAUCCAAUCCAAGCUAUUCUAUGAUUCUUCAAUUCUAUGAUUAUUUGAUUCCUAAGUACUUCGCCUUAAAAUUAGUUAUCAAGUAUCUUCUUUAAUGGCUUUCCCAACCAGUUCUUGGCUCUUCCUUUGGCCCAAUAAAGAGUCCUGACCUUACUGUAAAAGAAAAGACCACCAGGGUCUCACUGAUACUUACUCCUUCUUCACUGCACCCAUCUCCUUGCUCCUUAGUCAUUUCCAUUCAGACAAAUGAAAAGGUUACUGCUCUUUAAAUAUCCCUUCACAAGGGUCUGUGGUAAUUGAACUGUCUAAAUUCAUGUAUCCAGUUAGAUUACUCUUUCUUUACAAAAAAUAAAUGCUCGACUUUUGUCAGUUCUUACCUCCUUAAAAAUAAAUCGCACAUGUGAGCCUAUUCUCGAAAGAGGUUGUUAAUGAAAGAGCAGUACAGAUAUGCAGCGGUGUUACGAAAGCUACUUUUUCUCUAUUCAUUCAGUUUAUGUCAAGUAAGCAUAUCUUUUAUACUACAUCUGAAGUUACUGCCUUCCUGUACUGUUUUAUAUCUUUAAAAGCAGGAACAUAUCUAUAGAGAGAAUGUGGGAUAUAUUGAGAAGAAGGUGAGCUGUUGAUUUGCAAUCUUAGAAAUAGAAUACUUCGUGGCUGGUGCUGGGUGGUAUUUUUCCUAGGUAUUUUGCUUUAUUUAAGGCAGAAUUGAUGCUCAAGUGUAUGGAAAUGUCACUCAGCAGUUCAGUAAGAAAAUGUGUUUCAGAUGGAAAGAUCACAAAUGUCUCAGAGACAUGCAGUAGUGGAUUCCUGAAGAAGUUAAGUAGUUGUUUUAAUUAAUAUGUUUAGUCAAUGGAGGAACAGUGUAUCAUUCUGUAAGCAGAUACAGGCUCUAAUGAAAAGUCCUGGUUGCUGUCCAAGGAACUUUGGAAACAUGAGAUUGAUAGGGACUUCUUUGAUCGCCAGUUCUCACUCCUUACCAUUCUCAGUAUCUCUUCAGACUAGUCCACGUUAUGAGUUUGCAAAGCAGCAUGCAGCUACAUGUCAGUCUGAGGAGAGGACAGGAGCUCCAUUUAUUGUAUUCCAAGUGUGGUCCAGAUUCCCAUUGUUCUAAUGUUUAGAUUUUUGUAUUUUUUAAUUAAUAGCCUAACUUUAUUUGUGGCCAUCUAAUAUUCAUUGUUUUGUGAGCCAGUUGGGGCCCCUGGAUUGAGUAAUUAUUUUUCUCCUUCAUUGUUCGGUUCCCUGUCAUAUUUUCUCAUAGUUUCGAUUUCAGUAGACUAGAAAAGCUCAAGCACUUUUAGCCUCUUUUUGUCAGAUAGAUUUUCCAUUUCUCUGAUCAUGUUUGCAGCUCUUUUCUGCACCUCUUCCAUUUUAAGCUUAUCAUUCUUUAACAUGAGUGAGCAGGACUCUAGGGCAUAUUAGAGAUGUCAGUGAUUAGAUUCCCCCACAUCUUGCACAGUAGCAUCAGUAUUUACUUCUCUGGAAAAAUCCUGUCUGAUACAGCUUAGAGUUGUAUUGUCCAUAUAACACUAGCAACUCAUACAUAAUUCCCGUGAUUGAUUUUUUUCUGCCUCAGUUGUUUGCAAGUGAUGAACUUCUGGCUUUUGGAAGAAAUGUUUUUAUUAGUCUUUAGGGGAAUUGCCUUGCCAGAAGUGUGAUAUUCUGAUUUCAUUUAAUAUUAUUCAUGUUCUCAAGGUCAUCAAGUCCUUUGCAUAUGGAUAUCCUAAUGCUACUCAGUAUUGAUUAUUUUCCAAGAAAAGAAUUACUGUAAUAUUCCACCAGUAUAGUACUGAUACAAGGUCAUUAUGAAAAUAUUUAACGAGAUUGCUCUCUAGACUGGUCAUUGAGAAACUCUUUUAAUGGCUUCCCUAUAGCCUGAAACUUUUCAGUGCUAAUCACUUCAAUUUUUCCUUUAGUUAGUUUCUUAUUGAUUUAAUAUUCCUAGUAUUAAUCCUAAUUUUGUCUAGAUUAAGUAAUGAUUUCCCAUGUUGGCACCAUGUAAAAAAUGUGUGCUUUUCUGAACUUCAGAUAUGUGAGGUCUCUCACAUCUGUAAUAUUAAAAAAAAAAAAA